GUUGAUGAGGACUCUUCUCUUCUCCACCAUCUCCUUGGACUGUAAUGACCCUUAUCAUUAAGGACAGGUCUUUGCAUUGCAGGGUGGUGGUGUGGCUUACAAACUUGUUGAUGCUCUUGGCCCUCACUAUAGAAUUCUCCCCGGGACUUCAUAACUUGGGCUUCCAUGUAAUGUUAUGAAUCUACCCCAGACCCAGUUCUUGUGGUAUGGCCAGGCCCAUGAAUAUUUCUAUUUAGUUUUGUUUGGGCCCGAAAAAUGACGGUACUACGAUAUAAAAUGAUAAAACUUGAUAUCAUUAGCAACUGGCCUAUUAGCUCAGCUGGUUAGAGCGUCGUGCUAAUAACGCGAAGGUCGCAGGUUCGAGACCUGCAUGGGCCAUAAUUCUCUUUUGGUUUUUUUUUGUUUCGUCCCGCAUUUUUGUUGUUGUUUCCAGUCCUUUUGAUCAAGUGGAGGGGAGGUGCAUGUUCAUUUGAUGCCUGUGAGUUCGAAAAUUAGAGUUGAUGGUUUUAGUGGGUACGAGGAGAUAGGGAAAAGCAAUUGACUGGUGGUGUCGUAUUGGGGAGAUGGAAAGUUAAGCCAGAGAAAUUGGCGGGACAAGAAAAGACAUUGGUGGAGUGAGUAUUAGUUAGUGAACACUGAACAGUGAAUAGAAAAAGGCUGGAUUUUUCUUGAACACCUUCUCAUUUUGUUGAAUUUGGUAAAAACCCACCUCACCUUUUCAAUUUCCUUCUUUUGUUAUGGUGGAAUACAAAAUACCAAUACAUACACAAUCAUGUUUACUUGGCUUGGAAAUAUUUCUACAUGAUGAUGGAUUAUGACUCAAAAAUCACAAUCUCCUGUGUGUUCUUAUGAAGUUUGUUGUAUUCAAUGCAACAGCAGCUGAGCAUGCAUAAGCUCCAGCUGAGAACACAGCCGCUGACACCAGCAAAAUGGCUUUCCACUGCCUCCCAGCCACUAAAAUAGCCACUGAGAUCAGCCCAAGAGCAAUACCAGAAAGACCAAUUUUCCAGGCUUCAAAACUCUUCACAACAUCUCUGCACCCUUUGCAAUGAAUCACAUGCCUGAAAUACCGGUUGGUCCAAUUCGGAACAUGCAGGCUUCCAAUGCCUCCCUUAGCUGGUUGAGAUGCUGAAACACUAGCAACAAGUCCUGCUGGCGCAUGUUCUACCAUGGCUGGCUCAUUGGGCAAUGAUAUAGUGCUGUGCCCAACAUGAUAAGGCAUGCCAUGCCCUACUCUGUCCACCCAUUUCCUAUACUCAGCUACCCAUACAUCAGAUGAUUUCAAAUUAAGGUACAGAUUUUUUGUGGGAGAUUUUUCUUUCAAAAGUAUCUCAUUUUGAGAUGAGAGAAAUCCCAUAUCUUGCUCAAAAACUGUACAUGAAAUGUGAUGGAAGUACCAAUCUGGGAACAAUUUAGCCAAAGGGGAUUGCUUGGUGGCUCCAAACCUCAUAAUGGCCAUCGAUUUUCCCUGUCCUGUUGGUCUACAGAGGAAGAGACCAACAGAGUAGUGCUUCUCACCAUUCUUGUCUACAAGUUCCCUUGUGUUUUCAAUAACACCAGGUGCUUCAAACCUUAAGAAGUAAGGCAAGGAUUGGUCUUUUGCCUCACCCCAAUAGCCUGCAAAACCUCUAUCAGUCCUCUCAGUCACCUCGAAUCUCAGCGGCUGUGCAUUUUCUCUUUUCGCAGUAAAACCCGUCCUGUCGUGUGAGAUUGGAAUGUGGGCAGGAUCCAUGAGAUUCUCCAGAAGAAUAGAGUGUUCAUAAGGGAGAUCAUGGAUUGUUGAAGAAUAAUCAAAGCCAGGCCUGUCAAAGUUUUCAAACCAAGGUAGCUUGUUGGGUUCGGGUGGUUUUUUGUGAGACAUCCAAACCCAAACAACACCUUGAGAGUCCCUCACCUCAUAUGCUUUAACACAAGCUGCUUUAGGAAUUUUAGCACCAGAUGGGAGCUGUGUAGUGCAUGCAGAGAUCAAUUAAGGUCCCUUGAUUAGUGUGGAAUAUUGUUAAAUCAAUUAAAAUGGGAACUAUAUAUAAUGAAAUGAAACAAAAAGUUUUGAGUUACAAACACUCAUAAGACACAUACAAAUUACCUGUGGAAUCUUUACACAUUUUCCUUGGCCUUGGAAUUGCCAACCAUGAUAUAAACACUCCAGUCUUCCAUCAAUCAACUGGCCUUCUGAUAGUUUUGCAAGCCUUAAAGGAAAGGGAAAAAAAACGCACACACACCAAAGAAUUCACUUUUUGUUAGCCAUGAAGUAGAAACUCUAAAGGAAACAAAACAGAGGAAGCAGAACAAGAUUUUCACUUAAGAUUUUGUGAAUGAAAAGAGGUUAUGAAUCAUGAGAUUACUAAAAGUAUUAAGUUUUUACCUGUGACAGCAACGAUCCUCGUAACAGCGAAGCAGGCCAGAGCCAUCACGAUACAAAACGAGCUGCUUAUCAAACACAGUAAGGCCUAAAGGUGCAUCUUCUGGCAGGUCCUGGGUUAGAUACAGAGGGUACCAUUCUUCUGUCCAAUCAUAUUCAGCCACGACCCUUUCACCUCUGUGCUCUUCUUCACCGGAAGGACUCACUAGAACCCUGUGAUCUUGUUCCUCUUCUUUCAGAUCAUGAUCAAGUGGAGGAGGUGCAGCAGCCUUGUGUUUGAUAUCAUCAGUGACUGCAUUAAAACUAAUUUUGUGGCUCUUUUUAUUUGUGAAUAUUAAUGGAAAUGGUUUGAGAGGUGGGUUUGAUUUGGCUGUUGUUGAUGUUAAUGGUUUUGAAGCAGUGGAAGAAGAGGGAAAGGUGUGUGAGACUAAAGGGUGAACCAGAGCCAUGUUUCUGCUGCUGAUCAAAUUAUUAAUGCACAGUUAUGUUCUGAUCACUUGAGAUUAAAAGAGAGAGAUACUGAUUAGGAGAGAGAGAGAGAGAGAGAGAGAGAGAGGGUGAAGAAGUUGUGUGGUGGUUGGCGUUGCUGGCAAGGCUCUGGGACUGUCGGAAAAGUCUCUGUUUUCUUUUUCUAGGGAAACGUUGCCGUGCUACUUUUGAUUUGUGUGAUGAAAUCUCCACAUGUUGUUGCCUUGAAAGGGAAACAUGUGACCCACUUCUACACCGUUUUGUCGAUGUGAUGUGAAAAACGUUUCAACUUUUAUCAUGAGAAUUUCGUAAUGUUCUCUUAGUAAUUAGAGUUUCUGUUCUGAUUGGUUUGCUUAUUGCAUUUGGAAUUUGAUUUUCAGUUGAUUAUAUGUUUCUUUUUUUCAAUUCAAUAUUUUCAAGAAAUUUGUAGUUUAAGAGUUAAAGAGCAUUGAUUCAUGUAUGUCAGCUAAUUAUUCGGAGAAAUAAUACAAUAAUACAGUACCACCACGUGGCACUGCCAGGUAGUAAUACACACCAAUUGCAUAACGACAUGUGGCAGAGAGAGAAUGUUAACAUCCAGAUUGAAUGGUAACACCGUUAGUAACCAACUCUCUUUUUUAUUUUUUAUUUUUAUUUUAAGAAAUAAAAAAGAAAUCCUAAGAUAUAAUUACUUUUAUCGAAAUCUGCACCACUGUUACUAUUUGUCGAUUACUGUAGUUUUUAUUUGUCGAUUGAUACAGAUUUUUGUUUCUUCAGUCUAUUGCUGCAGGUUUUUUUAUUUUAUUUUAUUUUUAUUUUUAUUGUUGCAGGUUAUACAGGUUGUUUCUUUUUUUAUUUUAUUUUAUAUAUUUGUUAUUAUUUCUAUGUUUGAUAAGAUGAUGUUGUGGCAUGUGCCAGUAUUCAUUGAUGUUGAAAGUGACGAAGAAAAAGUAAGAGAAAAAGAUCCAAUGAUUGUUAACUGUGUAGAAAAUAUUGAUGAUGAUUUGCUUAGAAGGGUUGUGUUGUGUCCACAAAAGAGAAAGUUUAUAAUCUCUACAACAAUUAUGCUACGAGAGUUGGAUUUAGUGUUCGGAGGGGACAAAAGAGAUACAAUACAAAAAAAGUUAUGCGCAAUUUAGUUAUCUUUGUUGAAAAGAAGGUUUUUGACUAGAUACUGACCCUUCGGAAUUGAGCAAGGUUAGCAAAUUAGAGACAAGAAUUGGUUGCGAAGCUAGUAUUCGAUUUGCAUUCCAGGAUGAAGAUGAUACGUGGAAAGUUUCUCAUUUUGUUCCUUAGCAUAACCAUGAACUUGCUAAGCCAGAAGAGAGGCAAUUUUUGAGAUCAAAUAGAAAAUUUUCAGAUUCAAAUUUGAGUGAGAUUAAAAUAAUGGUGGGUGCAGGAAUACGUACCACAAAUACAUAUUCUUAUUUAGCAGAAGACGUUGGCAGGUCUCAAAAUGUUGGUUUUACAAAAAGAGAUUGCUACAAUGUUGUGAACAGGGAGAAAAUGGCCAUGAUUGAAACAGGGGAUGCUCAAAGCUUGAUGAAUCUUUGCAAGCACAAACAAGCUGAAGAUUCUAUGUUCUUUUACACAGUUCAAGUUGAUCAAGAAAAUUGAACGACAAACUUUUUUUUGGAGAGAUGGAAGGUCACGAAUUGACUAUGACUGUUUUGGAGAUGUGGUAGUAUUUGAUACUACUUAUCGAACUAAUAGGUAUAACAUGAUAUGUGCUCCUUUUGUCGGCGACAACCACCAUUGGAAAAACGUACUAUUCGGGUGUGCUUUCUUAUUGGAUGAGAAAACUAAUUCAUUUAUUUGGUUAUUUGAGACAUUUUUAGAAUCAAUGGGAGGUCGAAAACCAAAGACGAUUUUUACUGAUCAAUAUCAGGCAAUGGCAAAUGGCAUUCAAAACGUUUUUCCUAGGGUAUGUCAUCGUUUAUGCUCGUGGCACAUAUCUCAAAAUGCUGCAAAAAAUUUGGGAAGUCAUUAUGGUAAUCAAGAGUUUAACCAUAUGUUCAAUAAGUGUUUUCAAGGAUAUUGUGAGACAGAAUUGGAAUUUCAAUCUAUCUGGGAUGACUUAUUAGCAAAAUUCAACCUUACAGGCAACCCAUGGUUGAUGACACUAUAUAAUCUUCGUGCAAAAUGGUGUCCAGUAUUUAGCAAGCAUAUUUGUACUGCUAGGAUAAAAUAUUCACAAAGAAGUGAGAGCACAAAUAAUGUUUUUCAUCAAAUGUCUACUAAGACAAUGAGUCUUACUCAAUUUGUGCAUCACUAUGAUAAAUAAGCGGAAAAAAUGCGUUCAAGUGAAUUAGAAGAGUCUUUUUGUUGCAAUCAAGGACUCCCUUCUAGAAUUGCCAAAAGCAGUGUAAUUUUGAAUCAUGUUGCUACUGUCCACACAAGGAAAAUAUUUAAAUUAUUUGAAAAGGAGUUUGUAGAUAGUUUGGCAGUGAUGAUGCAUGAGGUUGGAAGUGAUUGCACAAUUCACUCACUUGAACUUAAUGAAGAGGGUCACAACAGAGUUUACCUUGUCCAUUUAAUGAUGUAUUGAGUAAGGCAGCAGACAAUUUAAUGGAGUAACACUUUCUUUUUUCUCUCUCUCUUUUAGGAUUCCAAUUCUACAAGGACAUCAUAUCAACCUAAUUUGUCGUUUACAAGCAUGCUACAAAGUACUAAUUUCAUGGCACAUUUGAAUCAGGAUGGUUUAUCUAUAGCUUAUGCCUAUUUUGAAAUAUUUAACUGACAUGAAGCUAUAUAUAAUGCAGGAUUCACAUUCAAAUGCUUAUGAGCAGCAACAUAAUCCAUACAAGUAAUGUCUCCUUAAGGUGUUGUCUAAGACUAAAAUAAUUACAAUUAUUUUCAGUUACUUUUAACUUAUCUCCCACAACAUUCCUUCUCCUUCCAUGGAAUCCAAACGACACGCUGCAGUUCCAUAAAAGUUUGAAGAGCAUAUCAAAUGAAAGGAAAUAAAGUGAUUACUCAAAAGAAAGGAACUGCAUUUAAUCUAAUGAAAGGAAAUAAAGUGAAAACAAGGAACUGUUCAGGGGAGGACAUAUGCCAAAAAAAUAAAAUCCAAAGUUCGCACCCCCAGCAAUAAUAUACUCAAAUUGUAAGGUAAAACAAAUAGCAAAAAAACAGAGCAAUAAGUAUUAUCCAUUAAUAAUAUACCCUAAUCGAAUGAAUUUCUACACCUCAUAAAUUAAGAAAUAAAAUCAACAUGUAUUAAUUGCAACAAGAAAAUGCAAGAAUGCUACGAAAAACCAAACCGAAAUAAAACCCCUUCCAUCUCACAACUUAAAACACAACCAAAACCCCAAAAUAAAAACAGAUUUCGAUAAUAUGCCUUAGGUUUCUUUUCUAUUUCUUAAAAUAAAAACAAAAAACAAAAAAAGAGUUGGUUACUAAGGGUGUUACCAUUAAAUAUGGAUGUUAAUGCUCUCUCUCUUAAAAGACAGCCACGCCACAUGUUGUUAUGCAAUUGGUGCAUACUACCACCUGGCAAUGCCACGUGGUAGUAUCGUACUAUUGUAUAAUUUCUCAAUUAUUUGAUACCUCUCUUAUUUAAUAUUGCUUGUGAGCUAAGAAGUUAUGAAUACAAUUAUCGUUUAAUCCAAAAAAAAUAUUGCUUGUGUCAAGAAAGAAGAAAACUCAAUAUUCAACAUUUUUUAUUUAGCUUAUAAUGUUUAUGGCACCCUAAAAAUCUGUCUUAGAGAAAAGUAACACAUUAAAAUUUUGUAGUCUAUCACUUUACGAAUUUUUUUUAUUUAAAAUUUUUGAGAAAUUCUGGAAUUGCUUUACGAUAAACUAACAUCCAUUAGUGUUUUUUUUUGGUAAUUAAAAUUUCGGUUCAAUACAUCUUUUUUUCCUUUUUUUCUUUUAUCAAAAGAGGUUCAAUAAUAAUAAUAAUAAUAAGCUUUAUUUAUUAUAAAUAUAUUAAUUAGUUCAAAAUUCAAUCCACCUCAGUAUUGGGCAAAAAUCCGUCUUAAAAAAAGCGGUGAACAAAACCCAAAGGGAAGCUUUGCUUAAACCCCAGUAUUGGGUUGGGUUCCCUGCACUCCAGCUUGUGGCUCGGAUUUGGGAAUCAGAAUGAAAAUCGCAGUAGAAGGUUGUAUGCAUGGCGACCUCGACAAUGUCUACAGAACCCUCCAACACUACGAAAAACUUCACAGCACCAAAAUCGACCUUCUCCUCUGCUGCGGCGACUUUCAGGUACGUUACUCGCUUGCCCAAAUUUCGAGCUUUUUUCUUCAUUGAAUUGUUUCUGAAAUUUAACGAUGUUUAGUUGAAUACAAUUGUUUUCGGGAGGACUAGGCUGUGAGGAAUGAGAAGGAUUUGGAGAGCUUAAGUGGGCCUGAAAAUUUUCAAAUUGCCCCUAAACUUACAACUUUCAGUUUCGUUCUUUGCUUAUUUGCCCUAAAGUUUCAAGCUUUUUUAUUUGUUUGAUUGUUUCUGAAAUUGGACAAUAUUGGUCUAUAAGUAUUUUCGUGAAAUUAGGCUGUGAGGAAUGAGAAGGAUUUAGAGAGUUUAAAUGUGCCUCGAAAAUAUCGGGACAUGAAGACCUUCUGGAAAUACUAUUCCGGCGAGGAAGUUGCUCCGUUCCCCACAAUAUUCAUCGGUGGAAAUCACGAAGCUUCUAAUUAUUUGUGGGAACUGUGAGUCCCUUCUUCAGCUAUAAGCUAUAGCAUUCCCUUCCAAUUUUUCUGUUUGUCGUUUUUUAUUUUUAUUUUUUAAUGAAUAAUGUCUUGCCAUUUUCCCUGUGAUUUUUACUCUUUUUUUUGUUUUUUUUUUGUUUUUUUGUUUUCUGUUUUUCAGGUAUUAUGGAGGGUGGGCAGCACCUAAUAUAUACUUCUUGGGGUUUGCUGGGGUAGUCAAGUUUGGAAACAUUCGAAUUGGUGGGCUGUCUGGAAUUUACAACCGGCACAAUUAUUGCAGAGGUUAGUUUGCUUUAAAUUUGUGUCAUUCCAGAUGUUUAUUACUUUGCUUAUCGUUUGUUGAUGAAACAUAGUUAUUUAUGUUGGGAUAUUGUUCUUAUUCUUAAGUAUAGCUAUGGUAUGGGCAAUUUUUUGCUAUAUGGGGUGUUAUAACAAGGGUAACUUGUUCCUCCUCCUGAGCAGGGCACUAUGAGAGGCCUCCUUAUAAUGAGAGUACUAUCAGGUCCAUAUAUCAUGUUCGUGAGUAUGAUGUCCACAAACUCAUGCAAGUUGAGGAACCAAUUGAUAUUUUUCUUUCACAUGAUUGGCCUGUUGGCAUCACUGAUUGUGGGGACUGGAAGAAACUUGUUCGGGACAAACCUUUUUUUGAGAAGGAGGUAAUUGCAAGAAUGGAAAAAUGAGUUGGUAAGCUUUGAUAGGUAUGAUUUUAAAUAUCUUGUGUCGUUUAAAAUGUUGUUAGGUUCAGGAAAGAAAUCUUGGGAGUAAACCAGCUGCUCAAUUGCUAGAAAAACUGAAACCACCUUAUUGGUUUUCAGCUCAUCUACACUGCAAAUUUGCUGCUCUUGUUCAGCACGAGGAAGAUGGUUCAGUGACAAACUUUCUUGCCCUUGACAAGUGCCAACCAGGACGCAAAUUUCUGCAGGUAUUUGAUGUGAUUUUGAAUGUAGUAUAUAGGGUGUUCCCCUGGAGUCAUUGCUGGUAGCUAAUGGUUCUAUGUGUGACAUUUUCUGGUUUUUUAGGUUAUUGAAAUUGAAUCUGAGCCAGGCCCUUAUGAAAUCCAGUAUGAUGAAGAAUGGCUAGAAAUAACUCGGCGAUUUAACUCUAAUUUCCCUCUCACAAAUAGAAGUGCAAAUUUUUGGUGUGUACUUGAUCCGACUGUUAAACCUUUUCUUCCUCUUUACCCUUUUAACUUUCUUUUUCUAUUGUAAAGUAGCUACUAAGUGCGUAUGUUAUACUGUAGGAAUGUACAUCUUGACAAGCAAGAUUGUCGUCAAUGGGUCAGGAGAAAUUUACAAGCAAGAGGGGCUAGACCUUUUGAAUUCACCCAGACAGCUCCACCUUACAAUCCCUCUAACUCUGUCCUGAGCGGUACCUUUCCCGGUAAGGAUAAUUAUGCCAUCCUUUGUGUAAUAUCAUUUGAUAUGUUGAUAAACAAGAACAUCUUAUGUUAAUACUACAAUUUUUCUUUUGGCAGAAUACACUCGGAAUCCUCAGACAGAAUCUCUUUUGCAGUUUCUGGAACUUCCUUACCUUCUUGAUAACACAUCAGAAUCAUCACAAGUACCCAGGAGUCCUCUUCCAUUGAUCCGUACAGGUAACAAUUUUUUCUUCUCUGUCCUUGUUAAGAAUUUUCUCUUUUAAGCUUUCCUAAAACUAAUUUCAAAGCUUUCUGUAGGUUCUCUUGAAGAUAACAGUGAAGACAUUCCCAUUGAUGAUGUAGAUGAUGUGGAUGAGUUGGAAGAACUAGCUGAAGAUGCGGUGGAUACUAAAACUGAAAAUAUUUGAAGCUCCUGUUGUGUAGUUGUGUUGCUUUCUGUCAGUUUCAAAAUAUUUUUGCUGAUCAAUGACAUUAGGUUCUCUCAGUUGAAGUUUAUGUAAUCGAAUUUCAUGUAUGGUCAAUCAGGUUGGUCUGGGGUCUGGCCUCGUCUUCCAGCCCCUCUGACCUCUUUUUUUCAAAAUUUUCAUUGUUUUAGGCCAGUUAGUUUUAGACUAUCUUUUAUUCAUUGUCUAAUUUCUGUAAGGGUGAGCAAAUCACAUACUGGCCCAAUAAGAACAAGAGAUAUACUGACUUGUGUAAAAAUCAUUCAUCUGUCUAACAGAUGAAAUUUUAUAGGUUUAUUUAUUUAUUUUUAUCAUGACUAGUUCUUGUACGAUUUCAAAUACACGGUCUUCGUCUCCAUUUUUUCAAUUCGAUCAAUGCAUUCCUCAUCUUCUUAUGUAUCACGUGAAUCUUAUCCUAGACAUCAGUUCUAUCCGAUUUUCAAAAUUUCCCGAGAGUUAAUAAAUGGGGUCUGAAUCUGAUAAUAAAAAAUGUUUGCUUUCAUAGAGCCACACAAAAUCCUAUUUUUGCUUCUUUCUUUUCUUGGUGCGAUGAGUAAUUUUCUCAACCAAAGUGAAGCCAUCUACCUUCUGACAUUACCAAAACCACAUUAAUGCAGCCUUAAAUAAAACUUACAACAUAUUAUUCCACAUGGCCAACUAUCUCUUGCUCUCUCCAUAUCCCUCUCUCUCUCUCUGAUAUUUUCUGACUUUGAAUGCUCUAUAAUAAUACAAGAGCCAAGAAGUCAAUGUCUUAAGCGUUCCUCUGUAUGGUUUAGGCUCCAUGAAAAUAAAGCAAUAUGGAGAAAAGACCAACAGCCUUCUUUUACACACAUGGUGUCUUCUUUGUGUGGUUAUGUUUAGCUGCUUCUGCUUCUUGUGAUGAGCUCACAUUGAGUUUCUACUCAGCUUCAUGCCCUUCUGCUGAGCUCAUGGUCAGAAACACAGUCAGAUCAGCUUCUGACAUAGACCCUACCAUCCCUGGGAAGCUUCUUCGCUUGCUCUUCCAUGAUUGCUUUGUGGAGGUAAACAACUCUAGCUUGCUCUCUUAGAUGCCUUAUGCCUCAUUGAUUUUCGGCAUUGAUUUGAAUUGACACUAAGCUCCCUCCCCCAAGGAAAAAAAAAAUCUUAAACCAUGAAAAUGGGUGGCUUCUUUCAUGCAUGUUUGUUUGUGUAAUGUUUUUCAUGAUUUCAGGGUUGUGAUGCAUCUGUGCUUCUACAAGGAACUGGGACUGAGAGAAGUGAUCCAGCAAACACAUCUCUGGGAGGCUUUUCAGUGAUUGAUUCAGCAAAAAGACUGCUUGAAAUUUUCUGUCCAGGAACUGUUUCUUGUGCUGACAUUGUUGCUUUGGCUGCUAGAGAUGCUGUUGAAAUUGUUAAGAUCCAUCUCCCUCAUUAACUGUUAUGUUUAAUUCUUCAUUAAUUCUUUUUUAAUUUUCUGCAUCUUCUAGUUGGGUAUUUAUUAUAUUUAUGGUAUGACUGGAAAACAGUCUGGGGGACCUGUAGUUCAGAUUCCAACUGGUAGGAGAGAUGGAAAGGUUUCUGCAGCUUCAAAUGUCAGGCCUAAUAUUGUAGACACAAGUUUUACAAUGGAUGAGAUGAUUAAGCUCUUCUCAUCUAAAGGGUUGUCUUUGGAUGACCUUGUCACCCUAUCAGGUACAAUUUUAUUUAUCUAGACACGUGUUUUUGCUUGCCAAAAGUUUGAUUGAACCACUUUUUUGUUAGUUUAAAAAUUUAAUGAGAGGUUGAAGUCUUUUAGGUACACCAUUAACUGCUUUCUUUGAUGAUAUUAUUCCAGGAGCUCACACUAUUGGAUCAGCUCAUUGUGGCGCAUUCAGUGACAGGUUCCAACAAGACUCCAAGGGGAAACUCAAACUCAUUGACACAUCCUUAGACAACGCUUAUGCAGAGGAGCUCAUGAGACAGUGCCCUGCGGGCGCAAAUCCAUCUACAACAGUCAAAAUUGAUCCUAACACUUCGUUUGCGUUCGAUAAUCAUUACUACCAAAAUCUCUUAGCCCACAGAGGGCUAUUUCAAUCGGAUUCCGUCCUGUUAAGUGAUGACAGAACAAGGAAGCUAGUGGAGAGUUUUGCACAGGACCAAGUUAUUUUCUUGGAGAGUUGGGCUCAGUCAUUCUUGAAGCUUGCUAGCAUUGGCGUCAAGACUGGUGAAGAAGGCGAAAUUCGAGCCUCUUGUCCAACAACUAAUGCAUGAGAGAAUGAAAAAUAGUUGCAAAUUUGCAAGUUCUUACUUUGAAAGUGUUACGUCCUCAAUGCCACAAGUUGCUUAAAAUUAAAACAACUUUAAGAUGCAUUUGUAAAAAUUUUAUAUUGUUUAUGUUACAUUAAAAUUUACAAGAGUUCUUUAUUCGUUUGUUUGCUGUGUUGGCCUCUCUGUAAAAUGAAGAGAAAAACCAAAAUGAAUGUUAUCUUUAUGUUAUCAUAUUCAUGACAAAUAUAAACCUUUUUUUUCUCAUUUUAAAUUUAAAACACAUCCAUUUGCAGGGAAUUAAACGUAGAAACAUAAAGUGACCGUUUCCCAUUUAAAACCGAUAUUUCAAACAAACUAAACUCAACGCGCCAUUGUUGCUGCCACCACUUAGCUCUGUAGCUCUGAACUAGCGCGUACUUGGACCCAGAGCUACCUCUGUUUGUUAGUCUUACAUUGCUCUUCCUUCACCAUAACUCAUAACACCAUACUAGUUACUAGCAGAGCCUACUUCCCUCGUUUUCUUUGAAUUUCCAACAAAAUUAGAUCUUUUUUAUUUUGUUUUUUGGCUCGACCAAAUUGGCAUGACCAAGUUGGUGAAUUCAAUUUCUUUUUAGCGUUGGGUGUUCGAAAAAGGGAAAGGCUUUAUCUUUGUUUAUGUAGCGAAAACGGCAUUGGUGGCUUCUUAUGAAUGAGGGCACUGCACUCGCUCCUUGGCAGCACAGUGAAUGCUUUGUGCAAGGUUUCGAUAACCCAUUGUAGAGAAAUCAAAUUAGGGGUCCUCGCAGACGUUUACUACGGCAACAAUAUCCUAAAUGGAUAUGCAAGAUGUCAUGAUUUUUUUCUUGCUCACAAAAUGUUCGACGACAUGCCCCAAAGAGACACUGUGUCUUGGAAUACGAUGAUUGCUGGGCAUGUGAACUAUGGGAACUUUGAGACUGCGUGGGAGAUACUAAGAGAGAUGAAAGGAUGCGGAUUCGAUUUUGAUGGGUAUACAUUUGGAAGCAUACUUAAGGGGGUCGCUUGUGCUUAUCGAUGUGAUCUUGGGGAACAAGUGCAUUCCAUGGUUGUUAAGACUGGUUACGUGGGUAAUGUUUAUUCGGGAAGUGCUCUUUUGGACAUGUAUGCAAAGUGUGGGAGAGUUGAGGAAGCGUAUGUGGUCUUCGAUUCCUUGCCAGAACGUAAUUCUGUGUCAUGGAAUGCAUUAAUUGCUGGUUUUGUGCAAGUAGGUGAUCGUAAAACUGCAUUUUGGUUGAUGAAUUGUAUGGAGCAGGAGGGGGUGAAGCUUGAUGAUGGCGCAAUUGCUCCAAUAUUGACAUUACUUGAUGAUGCUGAGUUUUACAAGUCCACAAUGCAAAUCCAUUGUAAAAUUCUGAAACAUGGGCUGGAUUGUAAAAGUACUGUGUGCAAUGCCACAAUCACUUCAUACUCAGAGUGUGGGUCGAUAGAAGAUGCCGAAACAGUGUUUGAUGGUGCUUUUGGUAGCAGAGAUUUGGUAACAUGGAAUUCCAUGCUAGCAGCAUACUUGAUUCAUAAGAAAGAACUACUCGCUUGCAAACUCUUCAUAGACAUGCAAAUGCUUGGGUUUGAACCAGAUAUCUACAGUUAUACGAGCAUCAUCAGUGCCUAUUCUGAAGAUGUACAUAAAAACCAUGGAAAAUCCUAUCAUGGAUUGGUAAUAAAAAGGGGACUAGAAAAGUCAGAGCCAAUCUCUAAUGCUUUGAUAGCCAGGUAUCUCAAGUCAAAUAGCAAUUCCAUGGAAGAAGCAUUACAGAUAUUUAAAUCUAUGGAGUCUAAGGAUCGUGUUUCUUGGAACUCCAUUUUGACUGGAUUAUCACAAAUGGGGUUGAAUGAAUAUGCCUUGAAAUUCUUUGGACAUAUGAGAUACGCGGAGGUAGAUAUUGAUCAUUAUGCCUUCUCAGCUGUCCUCAGGUCUUGUUCAGAUUUAGCAACCCUCCAACUGGGUCAAGAGAUACAUGCCUUGGCACAUAAGUCAGGGCUUGAGUCCAAUGAAUUUGUUGCUAGUUCUUUGAUCUUUAUGUAUACUAAGUGUGGGAUCAUUGAGGAUGCUAGAAAAUCCUUUGAACAGACCCCCAAAGACAGCUCAAUCACUUGGAAUUCGAUUAUUUUUGGAUAUGCACAGCAUGGACAGGGAUAUGUUGCACUUGACCUCUUCUUCCAAAUGAAGAAGGAAAAAGUGAAACUUGAUCAUAUAACCUUUGUUGCAGUUCUAACAGCUUGUAGCCACAUGGGUUUGGUUGAACAAGGCUGCAAGUUUCUAAUGUCCAUGGAAUCGGAUUAUGGAAUAACCCCACGAAUGGAGCAUUAUGCUUGUGCAGUGGAUCUAUAUGGGCGCGCUGGGCGUCUAGAUGAGGCGAAAGCUUUGAUUGAAGCAAUGCCUUUUAAACCCGAUGCAAUGGUUUUGAGGACUUUAUUGGGUGCCUGUAGGGCUUGUGGGAAUAUUGAAUUAGCUAGUCAAAUAGCAGGCUAUCUGCUAGAGCUAGAGCCUGAAGAGCACUGCACUUAUGUUCUUCUUUCCGACAUGUAUGGACAUCUCAAAAGGUGGGAUGAAAAAGCUAGUGUAAAGAGGCUUAUGAGGGAAAGGGGUGUGAGAAAAGUCCCCGGUUGGAGUUGGAUAGAAAUUAAGAAUGAGGUUUUUUCUUUCAAAGCUGAAGAUCGUUCCCACUCCCAUUGUGAAGAGAUAUAUUGUGUAUUGGGAGUUUUAAUGGAGGAAAUCAAGAGGAUGGAUUUUGAUGCUAAUGUAAAGGCUUUGUUGCAUGAUUUGGAUCCUAUGGACUGGUACUGUGAUAAUGCUCUUCUCCAAAACUGUGAUUCAGUGUUGUCGGCUGCAUAAGGCAAGCUCACCAACUUUUUUCAAGAUACCAAAUUUUGUUUCACAUCCGUAUACGCUGUUGGAUCGUUAUUUCUUCUAAUGAUGCAUAUUACUUUUUUUUUCCCCUGAAAAAAGGGACUUGAGACUUUGGAAAUGGUUCAAGUUAAUCAAAUUUCUCAUUCAAUAUGAACAUAGGCUGGUUACCAAGGAAUGAAGCAAUCGUUGAAAUGCAAAUGUGAUUUCUUUCUACUUUACUUCAUUGUGAAGCAUUUUUACUUGCCUUGUUGCUAAUGUGAACUUAUUGCAAAAACCCUUUUGCUUAUAGACAAGAACAUUUUCUGAUGUGAGAACCAGAAAAAGGUGAUGGGAGGUUUUAAGGGAACUCCUGCCCUCGGAGACAGAAACCCUUUCACUUAUAGACAAGAACUCUAGUUGCUCAAGGGUUGAUAUUGUUAUGGACUUUUAUUAAAAUCAUUAAUUUCUGUUUUUUCUGUUGCAUUGAACAUAUUUUAAUAAACAAUUUCAAUUAUUACAUCAUAAGGGGUGAUGACUUUUCGAAGGGAACAUCCCAAGAGUGUGAAUACAAAUAAAACUUCAUCUUUAUGUAGUUUGGAUCAUUGCUUGAUGAAUAUUUAACAAAACACUAGAAUGCCAAAAGCAAUGAGCUGCCAUGACAGGAAUUUCCUUUGUCUUAUGUAUCCUCAUCUUUCCCAAUGCAAAUGUACCUUCAGAUUCAGAAGCUUGCUAGCACCAAACAUUGACUCAGUCUCUCUCAACUACAUUACAUUUAUAUUGUAGAAAGAAAGCCUUCUGGGUUUCAUUUGUUUCUUUGGGUUGGUUUUCUUUUGGCAUUUUGCAACACCAAAUUGGCAGCCGGUGACAGAUGAUUAAUUACUAGUUUGAAGAUUUGAUAUAAUCUUAGGCACUAUAAAAGUAGCCUUGUUAAUUAGUUUGAUUAAUGUAUAAUAUUUGAUGUAAUGGGUUGUCAAGAUUUUAUCCAGAGAUUCAGAGAAAUCUUUUUUUUUUCAAUUUUUAUUAAACCCUUUUCAUCUUUUUCAAUGGUGCACAGUGCACUAUCUGAGUGGGGGAAUUGGGAAACUAAUGGAUGAAAAAUAAUAAUUGGGGCAUGCCAAAUUGACAAAUGCGUAAAGAAGAUGAAGCCUAUCAAAAACAUUACUUGUUGGCAAUUGGAAACUGCAGGAUGAUUGGAAGUUAAGCCAUCAAAAUCUCUAUAAGCAUCUCUCUCUCACUCAUCUUUUGGGACAGAUUCCAGCUUUCUUCCACCACCCACUACAACCUCUCUGUCUACCCCACACCCAAGCAAGAUUCCAACUGAUCAUCUUCGCUCUCUGAUAACAGUUUCCAGCUAUUAAUUUAUUCCCACCAGAAAUUAGGGAUGUCCCAUUCACAAUCAAACAAACACAAGAUAACUUUGCUGGACCAACCUUGCUGCUGGCCGCCCAUUUUCUUUAAUUCUACUAAGGCAAUUACAUUAUUUGUCUUAAUCUCAAAUAUCAUGAAGUACAGAAAUGAUAAGUUUAGUUUGGAUCGUAAGAAUAUAGUGGCGGAUUCAGAUAUUUUUCUUCACGCUACAAUGGUAAAUACAAUUAGUUUCUACCUCAACCUUUUUGAGGCAUUUCGACAAACUGUUUAAGGAAAAUAUCAAUAGCUAACUGAAUUGAUGAGCCAGAUUAAGAACAUAGAUGUCCGAGUGGAGAAUAUAGUAAUUUAUAAACAAAUGAAUCGUUCCAAUAAUAAUUUUUUAAAAGAACUAAUGAUAGAGACCAAUUGUUUAAAUUAAACAACACUUGGUUUUCUUGUAAUAAUUUCAACUAGUUGGAUUGGAUGAUUGGUGUGCUCAUCGUGGACUCAAUUAUUUCUUCGGCAAGUGUACAAUUAUGUUGAUCAGGUCAACAUGGCUCCUAUACACGAUAUGUAUGAAUACUAAUAUUGUAUGAUGUUGUCAAAUUAUCAAUCCGAAGAAUUCAUGUUAUACAAUUUGGAUGAUAAAAUAUUAAUCAGCAUGCCAGAGACUUACAUAAUAGAACGAAUAAUUGUUAGUUAUAGUGGAGUUUUAACUUGUGGAGUACGUUAGAAGUGGGGUGGGGGGAUUUUGGGUGGGUGGGAAACCACUUGAAAUCCAAUAUUUUUACUUUUUGAGCAAAUAAAAGCAUGAAAAAUAAUUUCAUGAUUCCAUCGACCUCCCACCCCAUCCCAUCCCAGCAGCCUCUCUCCACCGAAAAAUCAAGUGCCGCAGAUUACAGGAUGAUUGAUUGCUUCCUAUCUCUUUUUCUGUGUGAAAGUGAAAAAACCAAUCAAUAAAAGAGAACAAAAAGACCCAACAUUGUUGACAAUUGAGAACGUUGUCUUUAUAGACCAUUUUGGUUGGACCCAAGUCAUUCAAGUGUGAAACUACCAACUAUGAAGUAGUGCCAUUCGUAUGGUAAAACAACAAGAGAACAAAACAAAUAAUGGAUGCUGAAAAAUACUGAUUGUUAAUAUUUUAUGUUUCUUCUGGAAGGAUGAGAUGAAUGCAAGAAUUUAAUUAAGGUUCCUAAUCUCAGAAUUUGCCUAAUUAACAAGAAAAUCAUGUCCUCCGGAAAAAAAAAAAAAAAUUAAUAAUGAUAACAAGAAAAUCAUGUCCGUACAGUAAUGCUAAUCAGGGUAGUACACAGGUUCACUAAGCAAUCAGGUGUGGGAUCCCUUUAGCUAUCAGUAGGACAGAUAAAUGGCCGUGCUUUUAAUACAAGAAAGUCUUCAUUCUACAUUCUCAUUCGGUCUCAUACUACAAUGUAGUUUAAUAAUUAGAAACGUCUCUUUUAGGGCACUCUUUAAAUCAUAUGUAAAAAAAAAAACAACUAAAUUGGAAAUCGUUUAGUCAUUUAAUUGUUAUUGGACGAACACAGAACUAUCCCAAUGUUACUCAAUCAGGUUAAACGAACUCCAAUUUUGUUUUUGUUUUUUGUUUUUUUUUGGGUAUAAAUGAUCUUUAAAGUGCUAUACCUCGAAAGUAAACGGUUUUCAUCCUCAUACGACAACAGAAAGAAGAAGUACAAAUGCAAAUGGAAUGUAGCAAACUUUCCCCUAUUAAUCUACCAGAAUUAAUUAUCAAACGUUUAGUGCUAAUGACGAAGAGUGAGGUCAAUGUAAGGCGGUUGCCUAAGGUCACACUCAUAGGCAUAGCCAAGGCCCAUGCUGUGCUUUAUCCCAAACAAAAUGGUGAGCUAAGGCUGCCUCCUCACCUAUAGCCUAUAGGCACUUUUAAGCGCUAUGUAUUUGUCAAUAUCUGUACACGAUGGUUGGACUCAAUUUAUCUUUAUAAAAAAAAUAAUAGUUUCACGAGAAAUUAUUAUAUGAUAUCGGAAAAUGCAUAUAAAUAUAUUGCAUAUGUAUUUAUGUUAAUUAAUGUAACACCCUAUAUACUCUCAUAUCUACUUAUAUUUUCGAAACAAAUCCAUGGAUGAUGUCGUUUUGUGUAUUUGACAUUGAUGUGGAAGCUGCAUAAUAAUUUUUUACUGUUAUAAUGGGUGACGUGUGAGAAUUGGAAACCCAUUGUCUCUCCAUUCAGCUUAUAAGGCUAAAGGGAUGUAUGCUUUGAGGAGCAAACAUCAUUUUACAUCUGUGGGUGGGAGUUUAGGUUAGCUAGCUUGUGAAAUAAUCAUGGCAGCUCCCAUUUCUAGCUCCUCCUUCCUCAUGAGGUAUAUCAUUUGUUGCUCUGGUUUUCUAUGCCUAAUUCUGUGCUCUUUGGAGAAGGGCUUUGCCUUGGAAGAAAGAGAACAUGCUCACACAGUUGAAGUCAAUUCUCUGCUGCCUGCAACCACCUGCAGCUCCUCCUCCUCCACCAAAGGUCAAUAUCUCUGAAACCCUUUUUGUUUAUCUCUCUCCCUCUUUCUAUCCUCUGUGUGCAUGUUUUCUUGUCAUAUUUGCUUUAAUUUGAUUGCAAUGGUGGAAGUAGAUAUACAUAUAUUUAUAUAUACAGUACUGCUGCUGCUGGUAAUCGGAGAAUCCAAUUCUUUAACCCAUGAGCAACAAGCCAUAAGAACAUUUCUUUCUAUAAAAUAUAUAUAUAUAUAUAUUUAAGGGGAUACUUUGAUAAAGAUGGCAUAGAUUAGAUUCUGCAAAAUCUUAAAAUGGUUUAUUAUUUUUGAAAUAAUAAUAAUAAAGUUUUGGUAGGAGAUGUAACUUUCAGCAGCAUGCAUAUAUAAUAAUAUUAUAUUGUCAAUAAACUUAUAAUUUAGUGUUACAUAAAUAAUUAAAGAGUUUUUCCUUCCAGGGUUUUGUUAAUUGAGAUCAUCAUUUUUGUUUAUGGAUCAUUUAAUUUACGGAUUAAAAGAUUUGAUGGUAUUAAUUAAGUUUUUGUUUAAAGAUUACGCAUGCAAUCAGUAAACAUGACUCUUUAUUUAAUUAAUUAAAGGAAUUUCGACUAUGAUUGCUCAUUACAAACACAAACACACAAAGACAUAUGUGAGUUUUGAGUUUCUUCCCACUUGGAAGUCCUUUUUUGCAAGCUACGUAAUCAUCAAGCAUGUUCCUUCCUGCGCCAAUCAUGGCCACAUAAGCAGGUACGAUAGGCACUGCCAGCCAGCAGGCCAUGACACCCUUCCAUAUUGAUGCCUAGUGCCGACAUAUACCAAAAUAAUUUGUGCAUAAGUUGGUCUUUACAUUAAAACAGAAUCAUGGAACUAAUUUUGUCCCAAUAUAGAAGUUCCGAUAUAUUGAAUUGUUGUGCAAUUUAAUUAGUUCCUAUCUUAUUAUUUUUUAAAUUUAUUAAACAACGAUAAAGACAUUAAGUCUAAUUUAAUAAAAAUAAUUCAAUUCAAACCGAGUCACUAAUCAUAGUUGUAAAUUAUUUGAAAUUCAGGUCAUAUGAGCAAGCAUGCAUCAUCAUCAGUGCUGAAAGUGGUACACAAGCAUGGCCCAUGUUCCCGACUCAAGAAGCACAAAUCCAAAACUCCAACUCAUGCUCAAAUCCUCCAGCAAGACCAAGCCCGAGUCAACUCAAUCCACUCCCGAGUCAACUCCAAGAAGCAAUUGAAAAGCGUCGACGAUCUACGCGAAUCGGCGGCCACCACCAUUCCGGCCCAGUCCGGAAGCGUCGUCGGAGCGGGAAACUACAUAGUCAACGUGGGCCUGGGCUCUCCCAAGAAGCAGCUAUCGCUCAUUUUCGACACGGGCAGCGACCUCACUUGGACCCAAUGUAGACCAUGUGUAAAAUCUUGUUACAAACAGAAAGAGCCCAUCUUCGACCCUUCUCUCUCCGCCUCCUACGCCAACGUCUCCUGCACCUCCGCCACGUGCACUCAGCUGGGUUCGGCCACUGGAAACACCCCCGGCUGCACCGCCUCCACGUCCACCUGCAUCUACGGCAUCCAGUACGGCGAUCAGUCGUUCUCCGUCGGCUACUUCGGCAAGGAGAAGCUGAGCUUGACGAACACAGACGUGUUUGAUGGGUUUCUGUUCGGGUGUGGCCAGAACAACCAAGGCCUUUUCGGCGGCGCUGCCGGUUUGCUCGGUCUCGGCCGAAACCAAAUCUCCCUUGUGGAACAAUCGGCUAAAAAAUACAACCGGUUCUUCUCCUACUGCCUCCCUUCCACCUCGAGCUCCACCGGCUACCUCAGCUUCGGCAAAGGCGGCGGAUCUUCCAACGCCGUCAAGUUCACGGCCCUCUCCACCGUCUCCCAAGGCGACUCGUUUUACGGCCUCAACGUCGUCGGGAUCAACGUCGGCGGGACUAAAUUGCCGAUUUCGGCUUCGGUCUUUUCGUCUUCGGGAACGAUCAUAGAUUCCGGAACGGUGAUCACGCGGCUGCCGCCGACGGCGUACAGCUCGUUGAAGGCGGCGUUUCGUCAGAGGAUGAAGAGCUAUCCGCUGACUCAGGAGCUCUCGAUACUCGACACUUGCUACGACUUCAGCAGCUUCAAAACGGUGUCGUAUCCGAAGAUUUCGUUCGUGUUUGACGGCGGGCUUACGCAGGACUUGGACGCGACGGGGAUACUGUACGUGGCGAGCGCGGAUCAGGUUUGCCUGGCGUUUGCAGGGAAUGGGGACGAUAGCGACAUUGGGAUUUUUGGGAACGUUCAGCAGAAGAGGCUGCAGGUGGUGUAUGAUAUUGCUGGUGGAAAGGUCGGAUUUGCCCCUGCAGCAUGCCCCUGAGCUAUGGCUAUAUUAUUAUGCAAUGCAUGCAGCUACCCAGCUUUGCUAAUGAAGAAGACAAUCUUGGAGUUAGCACAAAUGGGGCUGUUAUAUUAAUAUAAAGACUACUUAAUUAAGGCUAGUUUUAAAUUAGCUUAAUUAAGCUAGCUAAUUAACCCAUUGUUGAUUGAAGAAGAUGAUCAUCAAUUGGUAUAAAAGUAUAGUUGUGAUACAUAUAGACUAAUUGGAACAAGCUAUAGUGACAAUUGGUUUGUGUGUUGGUGUAAUAGCUAGCUAAAGAAUGGAAAGUAUGCAAUGCAAGUUGUACAUAAAUAAAACAAUGUUGGAUUAUUUAGCUAAUUUCGGGCAUGCAAAAUAGGAUGAAUCUCUCUUAAUUUGGUCUUGCCUCAAACGAAAUGCCCAAUUAAGAAUCAAGGAUUGAUUGGUGUUAAUGGGGUCUAGUUCAGUGAAAAAUGGUAUUGAUUUGAAUACUAGAGGUCUCAGCUUUCGAAUUCCCAUAACAUCAUUUGUGUGUAUGUAUAUGAGUAUUUUUGAACUACUCCAAAAAGAAUGAUGGUUAUUGGAUCAUUUACCAAUCUGAGUCUGAUAGACUCUAUAUUUAUUUUAUAUUUUCCAUAUAAGUAAGAUUAUAAAAAAGUGAAUUCCAUUAUAGAGCCGUGUGCAAAAGAAAAUGCAUGUACGGUUGUAGACUAUCGCUUAUACUAAAAAAAUCAAUUGGUAAAAAAAAUCUUGAGGUUCUUGGUCUGUAAACCGACUUGGUGAGUGAGUGGACAAUCAAAGCCCAGACUUGUCGUUACUUUGAGUUUGUUUGACCGGUAUUGGUAGGCCAAUAAGCCCAAUAUACAAAAAUAUAAAAAUGAAAAACUCUUGAUUAAUUUAAUAAUGUUACCUUAAAGUCUGUUGACUUAUUGACUUUGAAAAUGGCAUAUGAUGAUAAUAUGCGCAACAGGCGCAUGGAUAGUUCCAAAUUUAUGUUUGGUGUAGUUUGAAAAAUGCCACCGUGGAUACAAAUUACAAUGACAAGACGCUGAAAUGGCGCCAUGACAUUGAUCACCAACAGGAACGUCUUCUAUACUUUCCAGACACCAAGUCCUCUGCGCUUUAAUCACAAUAUUGACAGGUGAUGGAUAAUUAAUUAAACGACUAUAAUGUUAAAAAAAAAAAUAUUGCAUUUGUUUAUUUUGUAGGUCAUAAUUAUAUGUUUUAAUAAUUUUUAAAUUGUCUAAUAUUUUGUAAAUAUUAUCUAUAAAUUACGACUCACUCGGUUGAAAUAUAAUUUAUCAAUUAGUUGGAGUCUACAGAGACUUGACCAAUUAGUUGUCAAUUAUGAAUUGAAAACUAUACGUCUCAUCACUAAAUGCUUGGAAAUUAAGGCCAAUAAACCCGGUGGACAUCCAUGUCUCCAAUUAGCCUAUAUAAGGCCAAGAGUAUGCUUACAUUACAGCAGCAACUCAAUAAUCUAGAGGCAAUCUUGUUAAUUAUUCAUGGCAACUCCCAUGAUUUCUAGCUCCUCCUUCCUUAGGUUUUUCAUGGCUUUCUUCUCUGUAUUUCUAUGCCUAAUUCUCUGCUCUUUCGAGAACGGAUUUGCUUUGGCAGCAAGAGAUACAAAACCCCACCUUAUGCCACAUACCACUCACACAGUUGAAGUAAACUCUCUUCUACCAGCAACCACCUGCAGCCCCUCCACCAAAGGUUAAUUCAUCCCAUAUUAUAUAUAUAAUUUAAUUUCAAUGCAUUUAUGUAUCUCUAACACACACACACACUCUCUCUCUCUCUCUCUAUGCAUACAUGUUUCGAUGAUCUCAGGUCAUAACAAUAACAAGGCAUCAUCGGUAUUGAAAGUGGUGCACAAACAUGGGCCAUGCUCCAAAUUCCACAAAUCAUCAAAAACUUCAACCACAACUAGUGAUGAAAAAUACCAUGCUCAAAUCCUCGAGCAAGACCAGGCCCGAGUCAACUCAAUCCACUCCCGCCUCAACCACAACAACAACAAAGACCCACUCACCCAAUCCGCCGCCACCACCCUCCCCGCCAAGUCUGGUAUCGUUAUCGGCUCAGGGAACUACAUUGUCACCGUCAGCCUCGGUACACCAGCCAAGCAACUCUCCCUCGUCUUCGACACUGGCAGCGACCUCACCUGGACCCAAUGCCAGCCAUGUCCUACUACUCGGUCUUGUUACAAACAGACUGAGCCCAUCUUCAACCCUUCUCUCUCCGCCUCAUACAAAAAGAUCCCAUGUACCACCGCCGCGUGUACUCAGCUCCCAUCCUCCGGCCUCGAACAAAGCUGCUCCGCCUCCACCUGCCUUUACAUCGCCGUUUACGGUGACAACUCCUUCUCUAAAGGGGUAUUUGGCAGCGAAAAGCUUACAUUGACCCCUACGGACGUUUUUGAAAGUUUCCUCUUCGGCUGCGGCCUAGACAACGGAGGCCUAUUCAGAGGAUCCGCCGGUUUGCUAGGUCUCGGCCGGAGCAGCAUCUCCUUCGUCGAGCAAACCGCCAAUAAAUACAACCGGUUCUUCUCCUACUGCCUCCCGUCGACUUCCAGCUCCACCGGUCACCUCACCUUCGGUGACGGAGGCUCUCCUAACGGCGUUAAGUUCACGAAGCUCAUCACGUCAUCCCAAAGCGAGUCGUUUUACGGCCUCGGCCUCGCCGGCAUCAAAGUCGGUGGGAGCCAGCUGUCGAUUGCGCCCUCGGUCUUUUCGUCUUCUGGAACGAUCAUCGACUCGGGGACGGUGAUCACGAGGUUGCCGGCGACGGCAUACGCAGUGUUGCGGGGCGCGUUUCGGGAGGCGAUGAAGAACUACACACUGACUAAUGGCGAUUCGUUGCUGGACACGUGUUACGAUUUCAGCGGCUUGAACACGGUGUCAUAUCCGAAGAUAGCGUUUGUGUUUGGGGAUGGACUUACGGUGGACUUGGACGCGACCGGGAUAUUGUUUCCGAUAAGUCCUUCGCACGUUUGCUUGGCGUUUGCCGGAAACAAGGAUGAUAGAGACGUCGGGAUUAUUGGGAAUCUUCAACAGAAGAGGUUGGAGGUUGUGUAUGACGUGGCCGGAGGAAAAGUCGGAUUUGCCCCUGCAGGUUGCGAUUGAGUAAUGACGUCGUCCAUGGGUAUAAGUGUAAUACAAACAGCUUGCUAGCUAUAGAAUAAAGCAUUGGGUUACAUAUUUGUGUGUAAUGUUUGUCUGUUGUAAGUCGGUGUCUCCUGUUUUUCUUUUUUGGGUUCUUAUUCUUAAGGGAAAUACCCAUGUAAUUCUUAUUUUCUAGAUAUAAAUUUAACUAUUUCUAAAUAUUUAAGAUAAGUCUUAAACCCAAAUUCCAAAUAUGCUGUCAUUUAAGAUAAUAUAUAUUUGUCCUAGUAUUAUCAGUUAAAUUACAAUAUGUGCCAUUAACCUUCAUCAAUUCCUUCCUUUGUUUGCAACUAAAUUUCAUUUUAGAAUCUAAACCGAACUCUGUGCGUGUCCGACACUUGGCGGGUGCCGGGCACACUUGACUAAAUUGCGCUUCUAACGAAACCGAAGUUCAUCUCAAGUUUGACUUCUGUUGAAAAUUCGGCAGAAUCUUCCAUGUAAAUAGUCGCUACCCCAAAUUGCAUGAAGUUUACAUUCAAGCAAUCCAACAACAUAACUAUAUGGCCUUAGGCUUUACAGAAAUCCUAGGGCAAUUUCAGAGCAAUACUAAUCAGUUUAAUUUACAGGAAUAGUUCAAUUAUAAAAGAAAUCCUACAUAGCGGAAAAGAUGAGUGAAGAGUGGUGACUACCCUGUGGUGGCGCUCUGGUACACGACUACUGCCUUAGGGUGCAAAACAUUUAAAAGUGUGAGUGGACAAAAAUAAACUUUUGGAAAAUAGAAUAUUAACAUACUAACCCCACUGUUAAAACAUUAUGUUCUAUAUUCGUACAAGAAUAAAGACAUACAUAUAACUAAUCACGCAUUCAAAUUCUCAAAACCUUUUGAAGGCACUGUAAAGAAAUAAUAUAUUUCUCACUUAGGUGUACCCAUCAUAUAUCCGUCAAUUCCAUGGUCUUUUACUUAUUUCCCAUAUUAUACCCUCAAUUCCUUGUGUCACAUAAUGCGACACAUCCUCGCAAGUCUCGGAAACACAAAGUCACCGGAGCCGCAUUCCUCGCAAGACUCAGGGGACAUUAAGUCAACCUGAGCCGCAUUCCUCGCACCACACGGUUCGGGCAUCCUCGAAACUAGUGGGGCAUUGUCAAACGCGCACUGACUCAACCGAACGCAACUAGAAUGUCCGUGGACAUUAUUAUAACCGUAGGCAACAAUUUUAUCCGAAGGCAACAUAUUAUUCGAAGGCAACAUAUUAUCUGAAUGCAACAUUUUAUCCGAAGGCAACAUCUUGGGUACCUAUGGUGGUUUAAAAAUAUUUCUUAGAAAAAUUAUACUUUUAUUUCUCAAUAAAUCCUUCAAUCAUAUUAUCACUUCCUUUCCUACUUUCCAAGCCUUUUAAACAUGAACAAAAUUUAAUAAAGAUAUUUGAAUUCAAAUAUUUAUGCUUGGAAAGUAAUAGUCAUAAAUAAUUCAUUCAAAAUCAAUCAAUGAAACUUUAAUUGCAUAAAAUUCAUUUACAAAACAAAAGUUCACUCACUGAGCAUCCGAGCUAGCCUGACUCUUUGAGGGUCUUUCCUGCACGUUCAACGAAAUCUGAGUACCUAUUUAAGCAAUUAAAACAUUUUAUUAAUAAAAUAGCUCAACCACAAUUACUUAUUCAACACCCUGACCCCCGGCCUCAUAAGUGCGUGUACGUGACUUACAAAGGUUACUAGGCCCAUUUUCAACAUUUCUGACAGGUGGAAUGGUCUGAAAAGACCCGAGUUUAAAAAAGCGAUUAAAUUUCCAUAUUGGUAAAUCCGGUACCCCGUCGGGUCCACGACCGCCGAUUACCCAUCUAAGAGUUCCUAUAGGUUCAACACACUUUACUAAACAUGCCCUGCAAGUUUGGUCCGAAUCGAACGAUCGGAUUACUCACGAUCGCACGAUUAUCGUUUAACUUAAACUUUGAAAUAUUGAAUCAGAGUAUCCGAAACUCCGAUUCUCGAUCCGCGAAUUUCUACAUGAUCCCAGAAGCGCCUAAAUCAACCUAAUUGAAAAUGAAGUAGAUCCAACGGUCCCAACAUAUCAAACCAGGAUAACGCCUAAUAUACGAUAUCUGAUCGACGAUCAAACAAUAACCAAAUUGAAAUUCGAGUAUACCGUCGCGCUCAGGACGACGUGGGGAUCAUUCUGGGACAAAAAUCCAACAUUGACACCCCGCCGACGCGCCGCCACCACUGGCAGGUAUAUUGAGUAAUUUUUCGGCGAUCGAAAAACUCCGAACUGCCAGUCAAUAAUCAUACCUACGGAUUAAGCACAUCAAGAGGAGUAAAUAUCAUGAAUCCAAUUGACAUUGGAACAAAGUUGCAAGGUUUGGAAAUGAAUGUAGAUGAAGAUAUGAUGGUUCAUAUUGCUUAGAAUUCACUAUCUAAGGAGUUUAAGUCUCUCAGAGAUACCUACAUUUCUCAAAAGGAAAGCUGGACACGGGAUGAUCUUAUCACCAUAUGUGUUGAACAGUAACACAAUAUAAUAAGAGAAAGAGAUGAAAAAAUGGUGAAUCAGAUGCAGUCAAAGCAAAAUAAGGAAUAUAGGAACAAAGCCAUUGCAGCUGGAAAAGAGAAAGAAAAUGAAAAGGAUAAUAACAGUCCAAAUGCUCUGAAACCAGUGGGAUUGAAAUGCUUCUUCUAUAAGAAAACUGGACAUAUGAAAAAGGAAUACAUAAGGUAUAAGAAAUGGUUGGACAAACAGAAAACUAAAGGUAAAAGUGAUCAAGUUUUGGUUUGCUUUGAAUCUAAUUUAGUUGAUUUUAUUGAUGAUUCAUGGUGGUUAGACAGUGGUGCAUCUAUUCAUGUGACUAAUUCUUUGCAAGGGUUCAUAAAGAGGAGGCUGCCAAGCAAGGAUGAAGUGAAGGUGUUCGUAGGAAAUGGUAGGGGUGGCAUUUUAAACCGAAAAACCGAAAAACCGCAAAAAUCAACCGAUAUUUUACCGCAAUAAAACCGCAAUCGCGGUAAACCGAACCGCAAUCGCGGUAUUAAGAACCGAACCGCAUUUACGGUUGCGGUUGCGGUAUUUGAUUUUCAAAAUUUGCAGUUACCGCAAACCGCAAAGUAUAGCCGCACGGCUAUACUCUAUGAAUAAUUAAGUAAAAUUGUAAACCCUUCUCUUCUCUUGAAUUGGUGGAAAGGGAACCAAACAAGAUAUCCUAUUCUUUCACAAGUUGCCAAGGAUAUCUUUGCAAUUCCAAGUUCUACGGUUGCUAGUGAAAAUGCUUUUAGCCUAGGCAAGAGGAUUGUGGAUCCUUUUAGAAGCUCUUUGCAUCCUAAAAUGGUAGAGGCAUUAGUGUGUACUAGUGAUUGGCUUAGAGCGGACGAAUUUUCCUUUUACAAGGAACCAACAGAUGAUGAGGUUGAAUUCUACAAGGAAAUGGAAGAUAUGACAACUUGUAAGUAAUUAGUUUAUUUAUGCUAAUGUUAUUUAUGCUUCUUCUUAUAAUAAAAUGUACUAAACUAUGUUGUUUUAUUUGUAGAUAGCAUUGGUGCUCAAACAAUACAAAGGGGUUCUUCAAAUCCACUCACCACCAACACUUGAGUUUGUAACAUUGGUGUAUUGCAUUUUUCCUUUUAGUUUGUAACUUUAAUUAACUGUGAAUUGGAUUUUUCUUUUUGAUUGUAACUUUAAUUCAUUUUGCUUUUGGUUUGUAAAUUUAAAGGAUUUGGAAUUGGAAUGCUUGAGAAGUUUAACUUUAAUUGGAAUGUUUGGAAUUGUAACUUUAAUUUUCUUAGGUUGUGAAUGCUUGAGAAUUGGAAUCGAUUGUGAAUUUAUAUAUGCUUGAGAAAUUGAGGUUGUAUAUUUAUUUAUUUAGGUUGUAAAUUUAUAUUUUUGUGAAUGCUUGAGAAUUUGCGGUUUUAAACCGCAAAUUCUCGGUAACCGACCGCAUUUUUGCGAUUUACCGCAAUGCGGUAAACCGCAAAACGCGGUCGGUUUGCGGUUUCAAAAAUCACCAAACCGCAAAUAGUCGGUCGGUUUGCGGUUUGAAUAAAAAUUCGCGGUUACCGAACCGCAACCACCCCUAGGAAAUGGAGAAAAGUGCAAGUAGAUAAUAUUGGAGUAGUUAGGAUUGAACUAGAUUCUUGUUUUGUUUUUUAUUUAGAAGAUGUGGUUUAUGUUCCUUCAAUGAGCAAGAAUCUCAUCUCAGUUACUAGGCUUGUAAAGUCAAAGUUCACUUUGAACUUUGAUGAUUUUGGUUGUUCUAUUUUUAGAAAUAAAAGCUUAAUUGGAAAAGCAAGUAUUGUGGAUGGUAUGUUUCGAUUAAACUGCAAAAAAACUAUGCAAAUCAACUUAGUUCAAUCCAAACCAUGCAAAGAAUUAUAUUUUAAAUUGUGGCAUAAGAGACUUAGACGUAUUUCAAAGGCAAGAAUCAAUACUUUAUGCAAAGAAUUAGUUGUACCACCAUUGAAUCAUGAUAAUGCAGAUGAUAUAUGCCUAGAAUGUACAAAGGGAAAAUUGACCAACCUAAGAAAGAACGGUGUUGUAAGAAGUCAAAGUGUAUUAGAAUUAAUCCAUACAGACAUAUGUGGACCAUUCCCAACUCCAUCAUGAAAGGUUUAACUACUUCAUCACUUCUACAGAUGACUAGUCGAGAUUUGGACAUGUUUUUUUAAUCAAAGAAAAAUCCAGUGCUUUGGACAUGUUCAAAAUUUAUAAAGCUGGAGUGGCACUACUACAAAAAAGCAAAAAGACGACGGUAAAUCACCGUCGUGUAUUCGGUUUUUCAAUGGUCGUGGAAUCCACCAUCAUCUUUUCCCUCAUAAACCACGACGCUAAAUCACCGUCGUUGUUAAAAUAUACAACGUCAUCAACAAAUACAAAACGACGUCUUUGUACUGCAAAAAGAUCUAAAAAAGCAGUCGAGGAUGAGAAUAGACGACCAACUCUCUAAAAAAACCGUCGUUAAAAAGGAAAAAUAUGACACAUAUUAAGAGAACAAGGCCGCAAGAUAGACAUACAACGACGAAAAUAAAAAUACGACGCCGUUAAAUAUCAUUUUCACGACAAUAAAAAAUUUGACAUCUUUAAAUACAUUAGAAGACGACGUUAUUGAUACCUACUACGUCGCAUAUAUAAAAACAGUCGUCGUAAAAUUAAUUUUCCACUUCGAUUUUUCGAUAAAAGAUGACGUGGAAAUAGUUGUCAGUGUCAUUAUUUACGACGUAUGUAUUUAUAGAGUAGACGUUGAAAAACGAAACAACGUCGGUUACAAAUAUAUGAGAGUCGUAUUACAAAAUUUAUACGUCAUAUUUUCAGAAACAAACAACGACGAUAAAUAUUAGACGUUGUUAAAUAAAACAACGUCGGAAAACAAUAAAAACAGACGUGUUUAGUCUGCUAAAGUUCUAGAAAAUAGUCGAGGAUGAGAAUAGACGACCAACUCAAACAAAUCACCGUCGUUAAAAAAGAAAAAUAUGACACAUGUUAAAAGAACAAGGCCGCAAGAUAUACAUACAACGACGACAACUAAAAUACUACGCCGUUAAAUAUAAUUUACACGACAAGAAAAAAUAUGACGUCUUUAAAUACAUGAGAAGACGACGUUAUUGAAAUAUACUACGUCUCUUAUUUACAAACAACCGUCGUGAAAUAAAUUUUUCACUUCGAUUUUUCUAAAAAAGAUGACGUGGAAAUAGUUGUCAGUGUCAUUAUUUACGACGUAUGUAUUUAUACAGUUGACGUUGAAAUGCGAAACAACGUCGGUGGCAUUUAUAUAGUCGACGUUGUAUUUAUAUCUAUCAUCAUUACUCACGACACACUUAAUAAUAUAGACGACGUUGAACUUCUAAACAACGUCGGUUCCAAAUAAAUGAGAGCCGUAUUACAGAACAUAUAGACGGCGUUGAUUAUGAUGAGAGCCGUAUUACAAAUAACGUCGUUUAAUUGUUAUUAGACGGCGGUUAUAAUGAAUUUCCGUCGGAAUUCAUUUCGUUCCUCUUCGUUUAUAAAAGAACUUGCGACGUGAAAAAUGUAUGAUGACGUCGUAUUUUUUAACGUUCAGAUUAUAUAUCUCGUUUUUUAGACGUCGGUAUUAUGGGAUUGGAGUCGUGUUAUUUUGAAUUACAUGGCGGUUCUUAAUCCUUCCCCGACGUGAUAUCCUGAAUAAUUGCUUCACAAUAGCGUCGUGGUUCUUCAUUGUUACGUUGCUUUAAGACGUCGGUAAAUAUGCUGAAUAACUGGUUCACAAUAACGUCGUGUUUUAUUUGAACGUAGAAAGUGAAGAAAUCACAUUACAAUAUAUUAUAAAAUUAAUGUCAUACACUGCCAAUUACAUAAGCAUCAUUCAAUCCAUAUAUCUUCACACCCAUCUCGAAUAUUUUGACCGCCUAACUCACCCACCAGUUCAUCAAAUGUGUCAACAUUUGGCAUCCCUCUAGUAAAUGGCUCACACUCAAUUAUCACAUCACCUAAGACUUCAUCACCAAUAACAUCAUUAUAUUCUCUAUUAGGCAUUGAUAACACUACUGACCAACCACGAUGCAUCGGGUCGUCAACAAAAAAUAUUUGUUUGACUUGAGAAGCCAAAACAAAUUGGUCAUUCCUAUGUCCAAUUUUACUCAAAUCUACAAGGGUAAAUCCAAGUUCGUCGACUACAAGACCAGAACUAUCUAUCCAAUCACACCUAAAGACUGGGAUUGUAAACUUUUGGUAGUCAAGGUCCCAAAUUUCUUGAAUGACACCAUAGAAACCCAUAUUUGAGAGAAUUGGGUUUUUAUCCUUGGCACUAACACAUGGACAACGGAUAUGUAUUGUAGUUAGAAGAUUUUCUACAGCAAAGUUCAAAAAUGCUUCCACCCCAAAUUCAUAUGCCUUCGAUCUUCUAUCCGAGUGCAUCCAUGACUUAUCCAUCUCCGACACUAUAACCUAUUAUCUAUAAUAAAGUGAAAAUACAGGCAAUGACCAUCACUAUAGCAGAUUAUACAAUGAUCUAAUCGCAAGUAAUACACAACAGAGACGACGGGUUUUAAACAAAAACAGACGUAUUUGGCAUAUAUAGACGACGGAUUUUCAACAGACGUCGUCUAUUAUAAGUAAUACAAACGACGGUUUAUGAAAAAACCGUCGUGUAUAAGUAAUACAACGACGGUAGUUUAAAAAAACCGUCGUGUAAUCGUCGUCGUAUGCCUUAAAAUUUGUCGUGUCUCAGUUUAUUUUCAAGAACACAAAACCCAUUAAGAACACAACAUAUAUAUGAAACCAAGCAAGAAACCAACAUAUACAUGAAACCAAGCAUGAAAACAAUAAAUCCAUUCCCAAUUCAACAUAACAUAGGGUGAUUAAAAGAUACGACAAAAUUAAAUCCAUUCCCAAUUCAACAUAACAGAUAAUGUAAUCCAUGAACCCAUUAAACAGAAAAUCCAUGAACCCAUACCUAUAAGCACAUUAUUAACAGAUCGCAAAGCAUACACAUAAAACCCUUUAACAAAACAACCUAAUAUCACUCGAAUCGUUACUAGAAUCAUCACUCGAAUCCCCAUCUUCAUUAUCAGUUUCUUCCUUCGUAGGUACUAUUUGCUCCCCAUCAUUGGUGCACUUUGCACCUUCUCCAGAGCGGAAAAUGACAAGAUCAAAUAAAGGUGUACUUUUGCUGGAAAUCAACAUAAAAAGACACAGAUCACCAACUUCCAAAUGAUUGUCACGCACAACGUCCAUCCAACUACGCCUGAAUAAGAGCCAAAUCUAAAAAAAUUUAGGUCGCGCGAAAAUUUUUAGAGCUCGCGCGUUUUAAAACGUCGAAAGAAAAACCAAGGCGAAAGUUCUACAAGUACCGACGUAAAUUUAAUAUUCCACGACGGAAACUUCAUUUUUCGGAUUAAGAACGUAAGGCCGUUCAUUUUGAAGCUUCAUUUUUCGGAUUAAUUUUAAAUUUAUUUUGAAUUUUUUAUAUAACGACGACUGAAAAACCACGUCGGUGUUAAGAAAUUAAAGACGUUGUAAAUUAUAUAAACCGACUUACAUAUUAAAAUGACGUCGUUUAAAGCGUAAACCAUGUCGUAUGUUUUUCUGUACGACGUAAAAUAUGUAUUCCACGACGCAACCACCGUCGUUAAAAAUUAAUACCCUAAACCCAUAAAACUAAAUUAUACAAUUUAAAAAAUUAAGUUUAUAAAAGGUUUUAUGGUUUUAAAGCCUAACAUAUACCCUAGACUACCCAAAAAUUAUACUUUAAAAAUAAACCCCAAUAAAUAACAACCCUAAUCUCUAAACCCUAGACUCUAAACCCUAAACCAUAAAACUAGAAGUGAUUUUAUGACUCAUAAAAACAAUUUUGUUUUGGAUGGUCAUUUUAAAUUUUUGUUAUUCAAAAUGAAUUUUUUCAAGGUUUAUGUGGAAGAAAAUAUAUCAAUGACUUCAUAGGAGUUGACUUUUCAAUUUUCUGAUUUAUUUUAAAUUUAUUUUGAAUAUUUUGAUAUAAAAAUAAUAAAAUAUUCUUACCACAACAAUAAACCACGUCGGUGUUAAUAAAUUGUAGACGUUGUAAAUUGUAAUAGACUACUAAGUCGUUAAAAUGACGUCGUUAAAAUGAGAAACCAUGGCGGCUAUUUAACUAUACGACGUAAAAUAUAUAUUCCACGACUUAACCGCUGUCGUUACAUAAACGUCGUCGAUGAUACCCUGAACCCUUAAGAAAUUGAAGAUGUUGUAAACCAUAAACGACUCAAUUGUUCAAAGAACGUCGUCUAACUAUAUUUUUACGUCGUAUUUGUUUAAAACACGAAACAACAAAAUACGACGGUUUUUGACUUUAUUAGGUCGUUGGAAAAGUAUUACACGUCGGUUAAGCAAUUUGUAUGUUUGUUUUUUUUUUAAUUUAAGAAAACCUCAACAAAUUUUUACAUUACAUAUUAUAGAGAAAAUUUGUACAUUAUACAUAAAUAUCAAGUGUUCAAUAAUUGCCCUGUUUAAUAAUUUGGAAAACAAACUCUGCCCAUUCAUUCCGGACUUCAUCAAUGGCUUCUUGGGGGUAUGAAGCUUCCUGGUUUCCCUUGGCAUACUGCAUAAACAAUGACUAUUAGGGUUUAUAAAUAAAAAGAAAUUCAAUCACAGACGACGAUAUUUUUCAUAACCGACGUAGUAUAUCCAUUCAACGACGUUAAUUUUACAUGACCGUCGUUGAUAAUACAAAAAACGACGUGAAAUGUAUGAAGGUAAUUUCUUCUUACCUUAUUCUCAAACCCCAAGGAAGGAUCCAUGAUGAUGUCCCUCAUGAAGCGCAUCACAUAAUACCCGCAUUCGACAUUGCUGGGUUGCUUUGGUGUGCCUGAGAGAGUUUUCCAAAUUACAUUUUUACGUCCUGCUCGGCCUAUGUGGGUAUUAUAUAUUUUUAAAGCACUGUUCACGAUGUUUUUCGCCUCUUCGUCGACCACACGAUGACCUGGCAGAGGAUCCAGAAAAUAGACGGUCUCCUUCUUUGCUCUUACAAUCAGCAAGAUCCAAUGACGGCUGCACAAAAUUAAUAUAAAAACGACGGUUAUUUACAAAAACGACGUAUUAUAGUAUUUCACACGACGAAAUAAAGUAGAUAACGACGACAUUAUAUAUUUAUCACGACGAUAAAUAAAUACCGACGUGGUUAGUAGUUUCAAACGACUAAAUAAAAUAAAACACCGACGUGGUUAGUUUAUAAGCUGUCAUUUAUUGAAAAUCAUAAAAACAAAAUCCUAAGGAGACUAACCCUGGAUUGUAAGGCAUCAUGAAAAUCUGUUCACCGUCUGUCUUCUGAAGUCGAGCUGCUACCAGUCGUGAUCUUUCAGUUAUUGUGCCAGAGUUGGCACUAACUGUAGCAGGGUCGAUAAAGCUAACCAUGCUGCACAUAUUGGCUUGUUUCAAAACAUCGUGUAAGUACCUAAAUACAUAAAAUAAUAUAAACAAGUCAGCACAAACAAACACGACGGUUAUGUAUAAAAAAACGACGUAUUAUAAUAUUUCACACGACGUACUGAAAUAGAUGAGGACGUUAUAAUAUAUUUAUCACGACGGUAGUUAGUUAAGACGACGUGGUUAGUUAGUUAAGACGACGCAAUAUAUAAACCAACGAGGUAUUAUUUUAGAAGUACAAACCUCAUAUAUACAGCCAAUACAGUAGCUCCAAUUUCUUCCAUGCCUGCAAAUUGUGUAAUAUCUUCAGGCAGGAGGAAGGUAUCGUGCUCACCACCAAACACCUCCUUAUCAAUUGUAAAUUGGAGUGUCUUAUCCUCAGGCAGGAGUGUCGUUUCCACAAAAUGACAAAGGGUUUUUAAAGAAGAUGGCGCCUCCAUAUUUGAAUAAGCACCAACUUCAAUAACCUGUUUAAAGAAAUAAAAAAAAUGACGUGGUAAUUCAAUAAAGACGACGGUUUAAGGAAUAAAACGUCGUCUUAAAAGUAUUUAAACGACGGUGAAAAAACUGUCGUGGUAAUUCAAUAAAGACGACGGUUUUAUGAAUAAAGCGUCGUCUGAAACCAUUUAAACGACGGUGCAAAAACCGUCGUUUAAAUAUUUUAUUACGUCUUAAAAAAAGUCCGCCGUCUAAGUUUUAAACAAACGACGGAUUAAAUAAAAAUAUCGACGUCUGAAAUUUUGAAAAACAAAUAAAAAAAGGCAAAGUUAUGUGAACAUACCUUGUCGUCAUGCUUUUCUUCAUCUUCUUUCUCCUUUUCUUAUUCCUUCUCUUCAUCUCUUUUUUCUUCUUCCUUCUCUUCAUCUGGCUGAUGUUUCCCCAUUUUGGCAGUAUCAUCCUCCAAAUGUAGGGAUCUCACAUCACCUCCAGAGCAGCUAGCUUUGUCAGACAUUGGAUUUUUGGGGCUUUGGCUAAUUCUUGGUUUAAGCAUGCUUGGAUCAAAAUUGGGAAUUAAUUGGGAAAGCUGACUCAGGAAAUGCUCCCUCUCAGCCUCUACCAAUUGUUUUGUCCUAGCCUCCAUCCUUAAGGCUUCUUCCCUUGCCUUAGCCUCCAUCUUUUUAGUCUCUUCUUGAAGGAGAACUCUUAAACUGUCCUUCAAACGGUCGUCAAAGCUCACCCUCUGUGGUUUGGGCAAAUUGAAAUAUUGCCUUGGGGAAACACCAGCACCAACUCUCCUCACUCUGCCUGGAUGCUCGGGGCCCAAAGCCAUGGUCAGCACAUCAUUGCUGCCAUCUACUCUGACUUUGCCUUCCGAGACUUGUUUCUGCAAUUCAUCCUAAAACAAAGAUAAACAAAAAAACACACGACGGUUAUUUAUUUACAAACGACGUAUUAUAUAAUUUCACACGACGCAAUAACGUAUAAACCGACGUUAUUAUAACUUAUCACGACGGUAGUUAUACCGACGUGGUUAUUUAUUUAAAACGACGAAAUGAAUAAACAACCGACGUCUUAUGCUAUAAUUAAAGAAAACAGAGUAGUGAUUCCUAUUUAGACCGUUAACGACGUUUUUAAAAAAGUUUCGACGUGGUAAUAUCAUUCAAACGACGCGAAAAUGAACCACCGACGUCUUAUGCUAUAAUUACAGAAAAUUAGUAGUGAUUCCUAUUUAGACCUUUAACGACGUUUUUAAAAACUUUUCGACGUGGUAAUAUCAUUCACACGACGAAAAAUAUAACAUACGACGUAAUAAGAAUAAUUCACAGUUUAAUAAAAAUUUAAAACAGAGUGAUAGUAGGCUUACAAUUAAUUUUGCUUUCUCUGCCACCUUUGGAUCAGGGAUGUUACCAUGUUUGUCCUGUCUAGCUCUCUUCCAUAAGGUAGAUCGAUCAAUUUCUACCCCAGGCAUGGUUUCCUCCAAUUGAUCCUCCAAUCCAGCAUAUCCUUUUCGAGACAAUCGAUGAUUGUACUCGAGUUUCUUCCUAAUCUGUGCAUGUUGAGAAUGCACAGACUCAAAAUCUUUGGAUAGCCUUGAAGCUACAAAGGCAUCCCAUUGUGCUUUCUCUAUGAAUUUAUAUGUUUCAGGGGGUUGGCUUAAUUUCUCCCUGUCAUUGGUGUAUGGAAGGAUAUAAUGCCUCGUUAGUGUAGACUUGAAAUCCUUCCAUUUCUGGAAGCAGAAGCUAAAACAGAGGUCUUGCCCCCUUGGCCUACGACAAAAGCCAUGUCAACUGCUUCCCAAAUCUGCUCCUUUAUAUCCUUGGGGAUUUGGGACCAUUUCUUGUCCACAAGUGGGAUCCUGGAGCGUGCCAACACACCAAUAUACGACUGCAUCUCAAUAUGUGCUUGGCCAACACCUUUCCCCCUUUUAUUGUACUCAACAAUUGGCCUCAGUUUCUGAAGCUUUCUCUUCACAACACGAGGCAUUGUGCUCAUACCUCGACCAGUCUUUGAAUCAUCAGAGAUUGUUGUCUGGCUGGUUGGUUCUGUCUCAGCAGAUGAUGAAGCAAACUUCAUCUUCUUCGAAGACUUCAUCUCCUUCGAAGACUUGUCUUGAGGAGCUACCAUUCCAAGCUUCUUGGAGCCAGAAUCCUUAGUUUGUUGUUGAGAAACCAUUUUAACAGACAAAACUGCAAGUGAAAAUAUUUCAGGAAAACAUUAAGAACACAAACGACGGUAUUAAAAAAAUACGACGUAUGAUAUGAUUUUAGACGACGCAAUGAAAUAAUCUCAGACGUAAUAAAUGUUUAAAACCAUUAUUUAUAUAACGUCGUGGUAUAUAUGUUCACACGACGUCAAUAGUAAUACACCGUCGUGGUAAACUAUUAUUUAUAUAACGUCGUGGUAUUUAUGUUCAUACGACGUUAAUAGUAAUACACCGUCGUGGUAUUAACAUUCACACGACGUAAAACAAUAAGAUAUUUUGUCGUCUAUAUUAGAUACCAACCCUAGUUUCUUUUUCUUUAUAUUUUAUCAAAUAAGGGAAAAACAAAAACCAUUGUUCAGAGAAAUCAAACCUGCAAUUAAACAAGCAUAUAAAAAAAGACUAUUAUUUUAAAAACAACUUUGUCAAUUUUCAGACGACGCUAGAACAACUGACGAACCGUCGUGGUCUACCGUCGUCUUAUUUAGUUGAGGUAGUUGUCUUCAAAGUUGGAAACUUUCCCUCUUUGUCUGUAUAUUUUAUCAAAUUUGGAAAGAAGUACAAUGAUUUUGGCCAGAAAAAAGGUAAAAAGAUUUUUCAAACAAAAAACGUAUGAGCAUGCAAAACAGUAACCAAAAUAGUGAAAAUGAAAGCUUACCUUUUGCGUGCAAUGAAAGCAAGAGGAAGAUGAUCGAUGUUUAAGUUCAAGGACGACGAAGAAGACGAGAGGAAGACGAUGAGAAACUCUGACAAUGCUCUGACAAGGAAAAAAGACGAAAAGGUUUCUCUGGAGAUUGAAAUUUUUAAUCGGGUUUGGAAACAGUGCAUGUGUAAGUUCAAAAGUUGCUUACAUAUAAAACCAUUUCAAAAAAAUAAUACGGCGGUUACAUUUAACUACGUCGUUUUUAACUAACACGACGAAAUAUUUUUCGUUCGACGUGGAAUCAUUUCAUUUAACGUCGUUAGGUUUAAUAUAACCGACGUGGAUUUUAAUUUUUAAAUUAUGAAUAUAAUUUUUUUUCCCGUGACCUUUCAGUUUAUUUUUCAAUUACAGUGCGUUAUAAAUAGAGUUCUUUUUCCAGAGGAAAUUUAAAACGAAGGAAAUUAAUAUUCUGCAAUAUGUAAAGUUUCUUUUUUGGAUGACAGAUUUAAAUAAAAUAAGAAUAUAAAAAUAACUAAUGUGUAAGUCAAGUAGACGAAAAGUUGCUUACAUAUAAAAUCAUUUCAAAAAAAUAAUACGGCGGGUACAUAUAACUACGACGUAUAAAGUACAAAAUACGACGGUAAAUUUAACUUCGGACGUGGUAAAUAAAUACGACAGUAGUGUUGUAGGUACCGUCGUAGUAAACUCAAAAAUUAAAGUACAUAAGUAAUAACUCGCGUCAUGGUAGAUUAUUUAAGACGUCGUGAUUAUUAAUGUACCGACGUGGAGUUCUGUAAUAUACGUCAGUAAUACCGACGUUGAUUUUACAAUUUAAACGGCGGUUUUUUGGUAAGGACCGCCGUUGGUUUUAAAAAUUUAUUCUAUAAAUUUGUCGCUUUCAUUCAUUUUCGCGGUUUACAUUUAGGGUUCCAAGUUCUUCCUCUCUCAGAGACACUGUCUCUCACAUCUCAAAGACAAUAAUUUGGAGGUCUUUCUCAAAGAGAAAUUGAGCUUACAUUUAGGCUAGUUGACAAGAAGAAGCUUGUCAACUAGCCUUCUCACUUCCUUGAUCAAGCCUGAUAGGACACUUAGUGCUUCUGAAUACUCCUUGCUUUCCAUCAAAAGAGAUGCAAGCCUGGCCUCCACUCGUUGUCGAAGGAAAGUUCGCUUCUCAGGGAAAUCUGAAAAUCAGAUGUGCUUGAUCCUCUGCUUGAUUUUUUUGACUAAGAAGAUCCGUCAGAUUUAAGCAUGAGCAAUCGAAUCCGUAGAGCUUCAGAAGAAGAAGAAGACAUUGUCAAUGCUUUGAACUAUACAAGUCUGCAGAAAGAUAAAGGACCAAACUGUUAAAGAAACUGAAACAACGGCGGUUUUCUGUUCUACCGUCGUCUUUUCUCGUCGUCUAUAUUAAGGUAAGAUGGCGGUAGAUUUAUAAUUACCGACGUAGAUUAUUUUGUUAAACGUCGUUAAGUGUACUACAACCGACGUGGAUUUUAUUUUUAAAUUAUAAAUAGAGUUUUUUUUCCAGACUUCUUUCAGUUUUAGUUUUCAAUUACAAAGCGUGAUAAAUAGAUUUUUCUUUCCCGAGGAAAUUUAAAAUGAGGGAAAUUAAUGUUCUAGAAUUUGUAAACUAACACGACGCAAUAUUACUAACCCGAGGAAAUUAUAAAUAGAUUUUGCUUUCCUGAAGAAAUUUUAAAUUAAUUCAGUUUGAAACAAAACGACGGUUUUUUGUUAUGCCGUCGUUUUUAACUAACACGACAGAUUUAAAUAAAAUAAGAAUAUAAAAACAACGACUGUUUUUUUACUACUGUCGUCGUUUUUCGUCGUCUUAAGUAAGACUAAGACGACGUAAUAUAUUUGUUGAGCGACGUUGAUUUGUUUUUAAACGUCGUUAGGUAUAAUAUAACCGUCGUUGAAAAUUGUCUCUCUGAUUGCAAAUUUGCAACGACGUUGAUCAACUUCCAAAAAAUUGUCUCUCUGAUUGCAAAUCUGUGUCAUCUGUUAAGAUUAUUUUGUAUUUUAAAGCCGUGGAUUUGUUUGUAAUUAUACGGCGUCUUAUACGAAAACCUCGUCGUGUUAUUUUAUGAGUAAAAACGGCGGCUUUUAUUGAAAUCGUCGUCUUUACUUUCUACGUCGGUCUAUUCAUAACUUCUGCCGUUCUUUGUUUGCUUUGAUUUUACAUUGCGGAAAUCUGUUUCAAAUAGACGUCGGUUGUUUAAUUAGGUACGUCGUUGUUUUUGAACAGCCAUUUGAAUCUCCAUUUUUUAGUUGUCUAAGGUGGUAUUACACGACGGUGUUUUUAGAACCGUCGUCUUUUUAAAAACCACGACGGUUUUCACUUAGACCGUCAUUGUUUUCUGGUCGUCUUUUUCACUUUUUGUAGUAGUGUGGAAAACCAACUAGACCUAAAGAUAAAAGUUGUAAGGCCUGACAGAGGAGGAGAGUUCUAUGGGAGAUUCGAUGAGCUUGGAGGAAUCUUGGUCCUUUUGCAAGGUUUCUAUAGCAAGAAGGAAUCAUUGCUCAAUACACUAAUCCAUAGACUCCACAGCAAAAUCGAAUUGCAUAGAGGAGAAACAGAACUCUAAAGGAUAUGAUAAGAAGCAUGAUGUGAUGCACAAACUUACCAAUUUUUCUGUGGGGAGAAGCUUUGAACACAUCAAAUCACAUACUCAAUCGAGUACCAAACAAGGGUAUCAACAAUAUCCCUUAUGAAGUUUGGAAUAAGAAAAAAUUACGCUUGAAACAUUUGAAAACAUAGGGCUGCAAGAUAGAGGCAAAGCUUUAUAACCCUAUGGAAAAGAAGCUGGAUUCGAGAACUGUAAGUGGUUAUUUCAUAGGAUAUCUAGAUAGAACUAAAGGAUACAGAUUCUAUUGUCCUAAAAACACUACCAGAUUUGUAGAAACUCAGAGGGCAAUGUUUAUAGAAUCUGAAGGUGAGACAAUCGAAGAUGAAAAUUUUGAGUUUGAUGAAGAUAUUGCAGAAACUGGGGAAACAAUACAAACUGACAUUUUGGUGUUACUAAGUUUUGACUUGAAUGGCAAACAAAACAACCAAGAAGGGCAAACUGGUACAGACCCUAUGGUCACUGAAGAAGAAACUCAAGAAAAUCAAGUUUUACUACCCGAAAAUCAAGAUGUAGUUCAAACACAAGAAGGAACUAAUAAUCAGACAAAUGCAGGACUAAGAAGGUCAGAAAGACCAAAGAAACGUGCUUUACAUAAUGAUUAUGUUUACCUUCAAGACUCAGAGCAUAAUGUGAAUGACAUUGAGGAUCCUAUGAACUUCAAGCAAGCAAUGAUGAGUAACAAAAAUGAAAAUUGGUGGGCUGUUUUGAAAUCAUAAUUAGGUUCCAUGGAAAAUAAUGGAGUUUGGGAGCUUGUGCCUUUACCAUAAGGGAGCAAACCAAUUGGCUACAAGUGAGUGUUCAAAACCAAGAGAAAUUCGAAGGGGUGGAUAAAUAGAUAUAAGGCUAGAUUGGUUACUAAGGGGUUCACACAGAAAGAAUGAAUUAAUUUCAAUGAGACCUAUUCACUUGUCAUAACAAAAGACUCCUUGCAAGUGAUCAUGGCACUAGUAGCUCAUUUUGAUUUACACUUGCCUCAAAUAGAUGUUAAGACUACAUUCUUGAAUGGAAACUUGGAGGAAGAAAUUUAUAUGCAACAACCAGAAGGUUUCAUUCAAGAGAAUGGAGAAAAUCUGGUUUGCAAGUUGUGUAAAUCAAUCUAUAGUCUAAAACAAGCAUCUAGAGAGUGGUAUAAGAUUCAAUGAAGUUGUUAAACUAUAUGGUUUUACAGAGAAUGUCUUAGAUAAGUGCAUUUACAUGAAGAUGAGUAGGAGUCACUUCAUAAUUCUGAUUCUUUAUGUAGAUGACAUUCUGCUAGCUUGCACCAACAUGUCCAUGUUACACGAUUGCAAGGCAUUCCUGGCUAAACAUUUCGACAAUGACAGAUUUGGGAGAAGCCUCAUACAUUUUAGGAAUCGAAAUUAGCAGAAAUAGAAAGAGAGGUUUGUUGGGACUAUCAUAGAAAACUUAUAUAGAAAAGAUACUCAAAAGGUUUAACAUGCAAGGCUGUGCAAGGUCAGAUGUGCCUAUUUCGAAGGGAGAUAAAUUUAGUACUAAUCAAGCACCAAAGACUGAUCAAGGAAAGCUUGAGAUGGCAGAUAAACCUUAUGCAUCAUUAGUGGGGAGUCUCAUGUGUGCACAAGUAUGCACAAGACCUGAUAUUACUUUUAUAGUAAGUGUAUUGGGAAGAUUUUAGUCAAAUCCUGGACAAGCAUAUUGGAUUGCUGGUAAAAGAGUCAUGAGAUAUUUGCAGAGAACAAAAGACUAUAAGUUGGUUUACAAAAGAAGUGACAGACUGGAAGUAGAAGGUUAUGCUGAUGCAGAUUUUGCAAGUUGCAAAGAUGACUUGAAAUCUACAUUAGGAUAUGUUUUCCUAUUUGAGCAGCAAUAUCAUGGAGAAGUAACAAGCAACCACUCACAAUUGCAUUGACUAUAUUGGCAGAAUUUCUGGCUUGUUAUGAAGUAACCACUCAAGCUAUGUGAUUAAAGAACUUUAUCACUAGUUUGGGUGUGGUUGAAUCAAUUCAACAACCUAUACAUCUUUGGAAUAAUAACAGUGCAAGAGUACUUUUUGCAAAAGGGAAUAAAAGAACAAAGGCAUCAAGAAUUCUGGAAGUUAAAUUCUUUGCUGUCAAAGAAAAGACUAGAGAUGGGCAUACUGUGUUGGAGCACAUUGGCACAAAUGAAAUGGUUGCAGAUCCACUUACUAAGGGGUUACCAAAUGUUGUUUUUCACAGACAUGUGAUUAGCUUGGGAUUGACAGUUCAUUUGGAUGACUAAAACAAUGGGAGUUUUAUCAAGUUCUGGUAGUUUAACUAGUUUUGCUAUUUUCUAUUUAAAUUCAUAGAGUGGUGUUUUAAUUUGGAUGAUUUUCAGUUUAAGGAUUCGAAUAUAGUAUAUUUAUGCAAUGUAGUUUAUAUGCACAUGUGAUUACUUGAAUAUGUGUGGGUGGCAUAGCAUGCAUUUAAGCUAGCCAUGAGAAGAUUGUAUUCAUGACAGUUUGUAAUUUUUGUUAUGCAAAUUGAGACCUUGUUAGUCAUUUAUAGGGACAAAGGAAUUAGAUGACUUUUGUUUAAAGCACUUUCAGUAAGGUCAUCUACAUUCUAAAGUUUUAAUCUUGAUCGAAGCCUUAUGUGGUGUUGAAGAGUUUUAAGUGUGAAUAUAAAGACUUUGAUAACUGUAUGAUCAAUAAGUCUCUUAUAAUUUUUCUUCAUUAACAACUUAGUGGGAAUUUUAUCUGGAUAUACUUUCACAAGGCCUUAAAGUGAUCAAUACGAGUUUUCCUUAGCGAUUAUUUAACCAAGUGGGAGACUGUAAGACAAAUCCGUGUCUUAGUCUAAAUUGUGGUCUUCUAAUCAUAUCUGGUUUGGAGGAGCUCUAAUUGAUCAGGAAGUAUUAAUCCUAAUACAAGUAGGAUACUCAAUCAAACAGUGCGUUUACAUUGAGAUAGGAGUAUCUUAAGGAUUCCUAAUUCUAUAUGGAUUAAAACAUCCAAUUCCUAAGUAAACAAAAUCUGUUUGAGUACUCCUUGAUGGGUAAGGUACCGGAACAGAUGCUUAUAAAUAAGGUCCCUUUUGUAUCGGCUAAAAUACACUCAUAACAGAAAACUCACCCCAUCCAGAGAUAGAGAUAAAGAGCCGAGUUGGAGAAGAAGAUUCUUAUUCACAAUGUCUGAUCAAGGUUAGUAUUUGAGAUUCAAAGACAUGAUAACUUAUAGUAUAUAUGGGUUGUUAAGAUUUUAUCCAGAGAUUCAAAGAAAGCUUUUUUCUUUUUAUUAAACCCUUUUCAUCUUUUUCAAUGGUGCACAGUGCAAUAUCCGAGUGGGGAAAUUGGGAAAUUAAAGGAUGAAAAAUAAUAAUUGGGGCAUGCCAAAUUGGCAAAUGCGUAAAGGAGAUGAAGCCUAUCAAAAACAUCAUUUGUUGGCAAUGGAAACUGCAGGAUGAUUGGAAGUUAAGCCAUCUAAAAUCUCCAUCAGUAUCUCUCACUCACUCAUCUUUUGGGACAGAUUCCAGCUUUCUUCCACCACCCACUACAACCUCUCUGUCUACCCCACACCCAAGCAAGAUUCCAAUUAAUCAUCUUCGCUCUCUGAUAAAAGAUUCCUGCUGUUAAUUUAUUCGCACCAGAAAUUAGGGAUGGCCCAUUCACAAUCAAACAAACACAAGAUAACUUUGCUGGACCGCUCAUUUUCUUUAAUUCUACUAAGGCAAUUACAUUAUUGUGACAACGAUUGUCUUAAUCUCAAAUAUCUUCAAGUACAGAAAUGAUAAGUAUUUAGUCUGGAUCAUAAGAAUAUAGUGGUAAAUACAAUUAGUUUCUACCUCAACCUUUUUGAGGCAUUUCGACGAACUGUUUAAGGAAAAUAUCAAUAGAUAACUGAAUUGAUGAGCCAGAUUAAGAACAUAGAUGUCCGAGUGCAGAAUAUAGUAAUUUAUAAACAAAUGAAAAUAGUAUUUUUCCAGUAAUAAUUUUUGAAAAGAACUAAUGAUAGAGACCAAUUGUUUAAAUUAAACAACACUUUGUUUUCUUGUAAUACUUUCAAUUAGUUGGAUGAUUGGUGUGGUCUUCGUGGACUCAGUUGUUAGUUGGAUAAUUAGUUAAACGACUAUAAUUAGAUGUUUUAAAUAGCUUUCAAUUGUCUAAUAUUUCAUAAAAAUCAACUGUAAAUUACGACUCAGAUGGUUGAAAUACAAUUUACUUCAAAAUAACAAAUUAUUCAACGUGUUGAGAAUGUUGUAUAUGGAGUCUACAUAGACUUGACUAGUUGGGUGUUAGGCAAUUAUGAAUUGAAAAUAUUUGUCAUCAGUAAAUGCUUGGAAAUUAAUGCCAUGUUUGGUAUGUCUCAUUAUGUCUUAUUGGACUGGACUGUGUUGUAUAGUACUUGAAAUCCAUAUUUGAUAAUGGAGGGGAUUAACUUAAAUGGGAUUAUAUAGUUCAUCAGUGUAAAAAAGCUCCGGACUCACUUGUCUAAUAUAGCAAUGCUGAAAUGUGGUUCGUAAAUUAGCGAGAACGCUAUUUUGAGCAUGCAGUCCAACCCUUGGCUUGAAUUACAACUUUUUUUUUAAUGAAAUAGGAAGGAAAAAAAAAACACGAUAACAAAAAGAAAAGAGAGAGAGAGAGAGAGAGAGAGAGAGAGAGAGAGAGAGAGAAAUGCUAGGAAAAAAAAUAAAAACAGAAAAAGAGAGAGAAAUUAAUAAAAUAAUUAUUUUUUAGUCCGACACAGAAUCAAACAUAGGUCUUCACUAUUUUUACAAUUCAACUAUUUAAUCCGACGUAACACCAAAAGUAGCUCAAUAUUUAAUCCAGCUUACGCCAAACGAACCCUAAGCCCGAUAACCCCAGUUGACAUCGUCCCUGUCUCCAAUUAGCCUAUAUAAGGCCAAGGGUAUGCUUACAUUACAGCAGCAACUCAAUAAUCUAGAGGUAAUCUUGUUAAUUAUUCAUGGAAACUCCCAUUAUUUUUAGCUCCUCCUUCCUUAGGUUUUUCAUGGGUUUCUUCUCUGUACUUCUAUGCCUAAUUCUCUGCUCUUUCGAGAACGGAUUUGCUUCGGCAGCAAGAGAUACAAAACCCCACCUUCUGCCACAUACCACUCACACAGUUGAAGUAAACUCUCUUCUACCAGCAACCACCUGCAGCCCCUCCACCAAAGGUUAAUUCAUCCCAUAUUAUAUAUAUAUAUAUAUAUAAAACUUAAUUUCAAUGCAUUUAUGUAUCUCUAACACACACUCUCUCUCUCUAUGCAUACAUGUUUCGAUGAUCUCAGGUCAUAACAAUAACAAGGCAUCAUCGGUAUUGAAAGUGGUGCACAAACAUGGGCCAUGCUCCAAAUUCCACAAAUCAUCAAAAACUUCAACCACAACUAGUGAUGAAAAAUACCAUGCUCAAAUCCUCAAGCAAGACCAAGCCCGAGUCAACUCCAUCCACUCCCGCCUCAACCACAACAACAACAGCAGAAUCAAAGACCCACUCACCCAAUCCGCUGCUACCACCCUCCCCGCCAAGUCCGGUAUUGUUAUCGGCUCACCGAACUACAUUGUCACCGUCGGCCUCGGUACACCCGCCAAGCAACUCUCCCUCGUCUUCGACACUGGCAGCGACCUCACCUGGACCCAAUGCAAGGCAUGUUCUGCUACUCAGUCUUGUUACAAUCAGACUGAGCCCAUCUUCGACCCUUCUCUCUCCGCCUCAUACAAAAAUAUCUCAUGUACCACCGCCGCGUGUACUCAGCUCUCAUCCUCCGGCAUCGAACACCGCUGCUCCGCCUCCACCUCCGCCUGCCUCUACGCCGCCGGGUACGGAGACAUGUCCUUCACUAUCGGGGUCUUUGGCAGCGAAAAGCUUACAUUGACCCCCACGGACGUUUUUGAAGGUUUCCUCUUCGGCUGCGGCCUAGAUAACGAAGGCCUUUUCAGCGGAUCCGCCGGUUUGCUCGGUCUCGGCCGGAGCAGCACCUCCCUCGUCGAACAAACCGCCAAUAAAUACAACCGGUUCUUCUCCUACUGCCUCCCGUCUACUUCCAGCUCCACCGGUCACCUCACCUUCGGAGACGGAGGCUCCGCUAACGGCGUUAAGUUCACGAAGCUCAUCACGUCAUCCCAAAGCGAGUCGUUUUACGGCCUCGGCCUCGCCGGCAUCAAAGUCGGUGGGAGCCAGCUGUCGAUUGAGCCCUCAGUCUUUUCGUCUUCUGGAACGAUCAUCGACUCGGGGACUGUGAUCACGCGGUUGCCGGCGACGGCAUACGCGGCGUUGCGGGGCGCGUUUCGGGAGGCGAUGAAGAACUACACGCUGACUGAGUCGUUUUUGUUGCUGGACACGUGUUACGAUUUCAGCGGCUUGAACACGGUGACGUAUCCGAAGAUAGCGUUUAUGUUUGGGGAUGGACUUACGGUGGACUCGGACGCGACCGGGAUAUUGCUUCUGAUAAGUCCUUCGCAGGUUUGCUUGGCGUUUGCCGGAAACGAGGAUGAUAGUGACUUUGGGAUUAUUGGGAAUGUUCAACAGAAGAGGUUGGAGGUUGUGUAUGACGUCGCUGGAGGAAAAGUCGGAUUUGCCCCUGAAGGUUGCCCUUGAGUAAGGGAAAUACCCAUGUAGUUCUUAUUUUCUAGAUACUGGCCCCUGGCACAUGCAUGAUCUUGUGUCAAUUGGUUUUCUUUUAAAUAUAUAUUGUUUUUAGAAUUAAGAAAAGGUAAUAUAAAUAGUUAUGUUCUAUAAAAGUAGAAUCUAUUAUCUGAUUUUAUUUUAAUAUGAAUUUAUCAUAUUAUCCUUAUUUAAUUAAUAAUUUCAAUUUUUAAUGUUUGUAUUAAUUAAGGGCAUUUUUUGGUAUUUUAAAUAAUUUACCAUUCUCUGCAUUGCUUUAUAUAUAUAGAUAAUUUAACUAUUUCUAAAUAUUUAAGAUAAACCCAAAUUCGAAAUUUGCUGUCAUUUAAGAUAAUAUUUGUCCUAGUAUUAUCAAUUAAAUUACAAUAUGUGCCAUUAACCUUCGUUUGUUUGCAACUGUACAUUGAUUCUUUUCCUAAUAAACACUGUAUAGUCUCUUGGAUGCAUGAUCCCUUCCUUGCCGUAAAUUUGUAUUGAUUUCAUAAAAAGUAAUAAUCAAAAUAAUUGAUGUACUGAUUGGAAUUUGUUUUUAUUAUAUAUAAAUGGCACGUAUAUUAUUUUUACAAUGUGCCUACAAUGGUGCUCAUUUUUAAAUAAAAAUAAUUUACCUGUAUGACAUGUACUUAUAUUGUACCUUAUUAUCUUUUAUUGAUAAUAGGAACAUUAUGUAUUUUAAAAAGAGGUACGUUAUCUUAUAUUGAUAAUGUCAAUUUAUCUAUUAUCUCUUAUUGAUAAUAAUUUGGGAGAUUUUGGAAAAGCCCAAAGGAGAGAGAAAAUUUUUAAAAGAAGCCGAAAUGGACAAAAUUGCCCUUAUUUAUUUUUUGAUUUCUUAAGGAAUCUUUUACAUUUGCAUGUCUUUGGUUUGAAAGUUGAGAGGUUUUUCUGUCUUUUUUGAAAAAGCUUUGGCUUUUUUCAAAAGUGAAAAUUUUUUUAUGGGUAAAACCUAAAUUUACUUAAUAAAUAAUUUACCUAUUAUCUUGUACUAGCCUCUUUGCGUGCGCUUCUGCGCUUGCGAGAGGAUUUUUUUUAAAAAAAAUUUAUUUUAGAAUUAAAAAAGAUAAUUGGUAGUUGUGUUUCAUAAAAAUAGGAUCCAUUAUUUGAAUUUUCUUUUAAUUUUAUUUUUUUAAUAUGAAAAAGUGUGAAUUUACUAUAAUAUCCUCAUUUAAUUAAUAAUUUCAAUUCUUAAUAUUUGCAUUAACCAAUGGCAUUUUUUGGCAUUUUGAAUGUUUUAACAUUCUCUGCCUUUUGCUUUAUAUAUAUAGAUGAUAAUAGGUAAAUUAUUUUUAUAAAAUAUUUGGUACAUUAUUUUCAAAAAUGCGUUAAAUGAGUUGGGUAUAUUAUUUAAAUCAUAAGUAAAUCAUAAUAAAAAAAUGAUGCAUAAAGAGUAUUGAAUUGCAGUUACCAAAAAAACAAGUACUGAAUUGCAGGCUAAUUCCAGGUACUAAGACUUAAUACACCUACCAUAUAACAGGUUAAUUUGUAAAUAGGGGUAGUUUUGGAAUCUGAAAAAUAUAAUAAAUCAUAUUUUAAGUUAGAUUAGGUAACUUGCUUAGUUGGAUCUUAGUCAUAAGGUUUUAUUUGAAAAAAUUGGAUAUUUUAAAUAGAAAAAUAAAGAGAAGAACUACAGGUGAUUAAAAAUGAAUUUUAUGAGUCUAAGCUUAAUUUACUAUUCUUUUUUUAAUAUAACAUUUGUGUUUUAAAAAGCAAAAGGAAGACAAUAUGGUUUUUAUUUUUGUAUUGAAGUGAUAUUAUAAACUGAACCUAGAACUUUAGAUAUGGAAUAAAUAUUCUUAACAACUCGAAAAACAGCAGUUUGAAGAAAGAUUAGUGAACAUUCCAAAGUUUGGUGUACGGAUAUAGUUAAACUGAUUGUUUGAUCAGUUUAACUAUGGACUCUGUUGACUCAUUGACUUUGGGACCCAUGAGUAGUCGUGAGUCGUGACUAGGAAGGAACAGAAACGCAUGCAUGAUGCAUGCAGUACCUUCCUUCCAGACUCCGAGUCCACUUGGUAUUAAUUACACUAUUGACAUAUUGUAUGCAUAAUGUAUGUAUGUGUAUUGACAGAGAACCUUCUUACCUUCAUUUUCAUUUUUUGUCUUUUCCUUGAAAGAUAAUUAACAUAAGAGAACGGGUGGACAAAGUCGAUCGACCAAAAAAUGACAACAAAAAAAUUGUAACGGGUUAGGGCGGGGUUUGAGAACGAUGGUAUGGAGCAAAUGCUAGAAAAUUAAACCCUCCAAAUAGUUUAUAUAAGGCCAAUAGUAUGCUUAAACUUAAAUCUACAGCUAGCUAGGCUUGUUAACUAUAUUCAUUUCUAGCUCCUCCUCUUUCCUCAGGUUUUUUCAUGGGUUUCUUCUCUGUGUUUCUGUUCCUAAUUCUCUGCUCUUUCGAAAAGGCCAUUAUUGCUCUGGCAGCAACAAGUCCAGAACCCCACCUUCCGCCACACACUACUCACACAGUAGAAAUAAACUCUCUUCUACCAGCAACCACCUGCACCCCCUCCACCAAAGGUUAAUUCAUUUCAAACCCCAUUUUAAUUACGCUGUUAAUUCUCUCUCUCUCUCUCUCUCUCUCUCUCUCUCUCUCUCUCCCCCUAUAUAUAUAUAUAUAUAUAUAUAUAUUCAAUAUUCAUAUAUUGUCUGGCUAUAUACGCUGUUAAUUCCAAUGGCGCAUGGGAGUAGAGACUGUGAAAUUCCCUCUAAUAUUCAUAUGCAUAGAAAAACAUACACAUUUUUUUUUUAAGUUUAGCAUAUUAAACUUAUACACACUACACAAAUGCUAUGACUCAACUCUAGAACCUUCCAUAAAAAAGCUAUUAUUCUAAAUCACUACACUAGUUGAUCUUUUUUUUUUAAAAAAAAAAACACACAUAAAGAGCCCCGUGCUUGGCCAAAAAAAAAUCUAAACCAAAUUUACUCUUUUUUUUUAUUUAUAGUAAAUUGAGCUUAGACCAAUAAAAUUCAUUUUAAGUUACCUACAACCCUUUCCUUUAGUUUUCUAUUUAAAAUACCCAAUUUUUUCAAAUAAUACCCGAUGAUUAUGAUCCAACUAAGCAAGUUACCUAAAAUAACUUAAAAUUUGAUUUAUUGUAUUUUUCGGAUUCCAAAACUACCCAUAUUUAUAAGUUAAUAAGUUAUAGGGGGUGUAACUAAUGACACCCGUUGAAUUUAGAAAGAUCUCCAAAUAGUUAUAAUGGAUGUAGGAACUAAUUCAAAAAUUUAUUUGAAAUUAAAUAUUAAAUUCCACAUUGAAGUAUUAUUAAUCUAUUUUACGACUAGUAAUCUAUUUUUGAAUUAAUGGUGUUUUUCUUCUAUGAAUUACGACUAGUAAUCUAUUUAAAGUAUUAGUAAUUUAAAUUCAAUAUUAAAUUUAGGAAUUAAUGUUGUUUUCUUUUUAUGAAUUAUACGACCGGUAUUCUUUUUAUUAUAGUUUUAUGAAUAAUAGUGUACGUUCUAAUUAUAUUGAAAAAUAAUUUGAUAAUCUAUUUAUUGUUUUGUUUUUAAAAUAUUUUUUUUAAUGAACCUAUUUUUCUCCAAAUAUUGUACCUAUUUUUUUCUUUUUUAUUGUUUUAUGAAAAUAUAUUUGAUCAUAUUUUUAUUGUUUGUUUUAUGAAAAUAUUUUUUUUACAUGAGCCUAUUUUUUCUCUCAAAAUAAUGUAUCAAUUUUUUUUCCUCUAAUAAUGUACCUAGUAAAACAAUUUACCUAGUAUGAUGAACCUAUUUUUUCUGCUGAAUUUUGUAUCUAUUUUUUUCUAUAAAUAAUGUACCUAUUUUUUUUCUCUAAUAAUGUAUACCUGGUAAAACAAAUUUUCUAGUAUAAUGAACUUAUUUUUUUCUUCUAAAUAAUGUGCAUAUUUUUAAUUUAUAAAAAUGUGUAUAAAUUUCAAUUAUACAACGUACCUAUUUUCUAUAAAUUAUUGUGUACCUAUUUUUAAUUUAUGAAAAAUGUACGAAAAUUUCAAUUACGAAGUAACUGACCUAUUUUUGUCAAAUUUUUUCGGUAAAUAAUAUACCGAUAUUGUUAUAGGUAUAUAUUUAUAUUUAUAUUUUUCAUAUGUGCAUUAUUGGAUAUGUAAUUUACAUAUUAUUUUUUUUAUUUGCAAUUUUAAGGGGCCAUAUGCUAGAGAGAAUGGCAACCGAAAGAAAUGGGGUGAUUGAUAUGCUAUUAAUAGGGAGUUUUAAUUACAAUUAUGGCAGUUAAUGAAAGGCUUGGAAUAAAUUAUAAAUAAAAUAUGAAGUUUGAUGGCAAUGAUGUAAAAACAUAUGAAUACUACGACCUCUUAUAUCCUACUGGUCAUUUAAGUUUGAAAUUGCGUUUUACACAUAAAUUUAUAGAAUGAUGGGUAUAUGCCUGGAAAAAUAGAAUUUGUAGGGCAUAUAUAGUAACAAAGAAAAACAACAAAAUAACAUAGCCCCCGUGCCCCAUUACCUUUGUGUCUCUCUCACCCACAUGGCAUGCAUGGUCUUGUUACCCGUAAACUAGUGGCAGGCAUGCACAGAUGGAUAUAAUUGUGAAUAUAUGCAUAAAGAGUCACAUGUAUACAUACACUCAUCCCUUUCAAUGACCAGGUCAUACCAAUAACAAGGCAUCAAUAUUGGAAGUGGUACACAAGCAUGGGCCAUGCUCUAUAUUCCACAAAUCAUCCAAAACUUCAACCACAAAAAGUGAUGACAAAUACCACGCUCAAAUCCUCAAGCAAGACGAAGCCCGAGUCAACUCAAUCCACUCCCGCCUCAACUACAGAAUCCACGACCCAUUCACCCAAUCCUCCGCCUCCGCCACCCUCCCAGCCAAGUCCGGUCUCCUUCUGGGCUCACCGAACUACUUAGUCACCGUCGGUCUCGGCACACCCGCCAAGCAACUCUCUCUCGAAUUCGACACCGGCAGCGACCUCACCUGGACCCAAUGCCGCCCAUGUCUUCGAUAUUGUUACACACAGAGCGAGCCCAUCUUCGACCCUUCUCUCUCUGCCUCAUACAAAAACUUAUCCUGUACAUCCGCCACGUGUACUCAACUCUCAUCCGCCGGCAUCCCACACCGUUGCUCCUCCGCCUCGUCCUCCUGCCUUUACGGCAUCCGGUACGGUGACGGGUCCUUCUCCAUCGGGGAUUUCGCCAAAGAAAAGCUUACAUUGACCUCCAUGGACGUUUUUGAAGGUUUCCUCUUCGGCUGUGGCCAAGACAACCAAGGCCUUUUCAACGGCUCUGCCGGUUUGCUCGGUCUCGGCCGAAACAACAUCUCCCUCGUAGAACAAACCGCCAUGAAAUACAACCGCUUCUUCUCCUACUGCCUUCCGUCAACUUCCAGCUCCACCGGUCAUCUCACCUUCGGCAACGGAGGAGGCUCCGCUAACGGCGUCAAGUUCACCAAGCUCACCACGUUAUCCGAAAGAGAGUCGUCGUUUUAUGGCCUCGGCCUCACCGGCAUCAGCGUAGGCGGGUGCCAGCUGCCGGUUGCGUCCUCGGUCUUUUCGUCUUCGGGAACCAUCAUCGACUCGGGGACGGUGAUCACGAGGCUGCCGGCGACUGCAUACACGGCUUUGCGGGACGCGUUUCGGGAGGGUAUGAAAAACUACACGAUGACUAUGUCGUUUUCGCUGCUGGACACGUGUUACAAUGUCAGUGGCUACGAGACGGUGUCGUUUCCGGAUAUUGCGUUUGGAUUUGGGGACGGGGUUACGGUGGACUUGGACGCGGCCGGGAUAUUGUUGGCGGUAAGUGAUUCGCAGGUUUGUUUGGCGUUUGCGGGAAACAAGGAUGAUAGUGACAUUGGGAUUAUUGGGAAUGUUCAACAGAAGCGGUUGGAGGUGGUGUAUGACGUGGCUGGUGGAAAAGUCGGAUUUGCCCCUGCAAGUUGCCCCUGAGUAAUGAACAUCGUCCAUGGGGCAUAAUUGUAACACAAACUGCUAGCUAUAGAAUAAAGCAUUGUGUUCCAUAUUUUUCUGUAAUGGGAUUGUAUUGGGAAGUAUCCAAUUCUUACCUUUCCCCACUACUUGUAUAAAAUAGUCUAAUGACCAAUCAAGCGAUAGUAUUUUAUAUAAUAAUAAAAUAAUCGAAUGUAUUGGAAGGAAAAUUCCAACUCAAAUACAAAAAGGGGUUUAUUGCCCUAAUCAAUUCUCCUAACUCACGUAUGUUGUCGGUGUUUUGAAGUAAUGCCACGUGUUAAUGUGCUGUUUCUCUUUUGAAAUAGCAAAAGUAGAACACUAAUCUCCAUCUCCUAGUUUGGGCUUGUUUUGCUUUUGGACUCGACCAGGCCAACUUUAGCACAAAAUGUCUUAAGAAGGACCUAAAAGAAAAUAAAAAAAGAAAAGGUCAAUGAAUUGGGAAGGCUUUGGCUUGGGCUUGGGGUGGUUCAGCUUCAAAUUUUAACCAGUGCCUAGGGUUCAGUGUAUUGGUUUCAGCGGAAAGGCUCGUCAGUCUGCAGUCUGUGUCUUGGGCUGCCUAUCCUUAACUAACCACUUUCUGAUUGCUUUGUGUAUGGGCUUUUUUUUUUCGGCAGCUACAAAUGGGCUAGGCUGCUAUAAGGAGCGAAUUGAUAAAAUUAUCUCUUGUGUUUAAGUUCAAAGAUCAAGCCCCAAGAAUGCUUCUAAAGGAUAGUGAAGCCUUAAGAAACACUUUGGUUACCUUCACCAACAAAAAUAACAACAGCUUACAGAUAAAUUCUUAGCUUGGCAUGAGAAGCUUGUGGCAUGGGAGCUAAGCAUUCAUGAAUUUAGCAUGAGAGAGAGAAAUGAUUGAGAUUUCCUAUGAGAAAUAGAGUUUUUAAGGCAUGAGGGAAGGGAUUCUAAAAGGAUUUGUUGUGGAGAGAGAGGGGGAGAGAGAUGAGGGCAAUGGGUGGCUUAAGUGUUUUUCCACCAGCUUGACAGAGGCUCUGUCAAAUGUUAAAACAGUCUACCAAAAAAGGGAAAAUGGGAGAGAAUGAUGAAUAUAGCACGAAUUUGCUAGGUUUUGCAAGUGAGAGAGGAAGCUUGCUCUCUGGACGUGGUUGUGGCUAGUGGUGGAGUAUUGGGUGUUUUUGGUAGUUUUUCAGCAGCCUGACAAAAGCUUGCCAGAAGAGAAAAUAGAAGGAGAUGGAGGAAUAGGGCACGAAAUUGCAGAGUUUCAGAGAUGAGAGAUGAAGCUUGCUCUCUAGAUGUAGGUUGAGAUAAUUGGUAGGAAAUGCUUCUUUUUAUAGGCAUUAGAAGCUACUUUUUUUCAAGAAACCCUAAUAGUUUCUAUCCAAUUUGGCCAAGCUUUUUUCCUUCAUUUCUUCUCCAUUCCUUUGACUUAUCCUAUUUGGUGAAAUUCUCUCUGCCCAAUUGCACAAAAACAGAGAUUUUGGGAGCUCAAUGCUCUUCUCACAGCUGCCUCAGUAGAGAACUCCCAUUUUCAGCCAUCUUUCUUCCUUCUUUACUCCCCUCUUCUAUGGCUAGAUCUGAUGGGGGGGAAAGAAAUGGGUAUGUACACUGGUUUGAAGGGUGUUUUGCUCAAGUAUCCCUUGGUUUUUCUGAUGGCUUGCGUUGGAUUUGUCUUUGGCCAUGUGCUGGAGAUUCCCAGCAGCCUGCAAAUGUGAGUGGCUUUUGGCUUUUAUCAUGGUUUUGUCUCCAACCAUGUACCGGAGACUUUCAAAUAUUUUGUUGGUCACUUGGGCCAUUCUUUAAGGUAAAGGCGCUAGUUCACUAAAGGGAUGGGCCAACUUCCCAAAGUGAUGGGCUAUCUUUUCUAAGGUAAUGAGCUAUUUUCUCUCCUUUAUGUUUACCCACAUAUUUGGGCUCAAGAAAUGGACUUGAGUUUCGGGAUUCCCAAGCAGCCCAAAACUUCCAUUUCUCAGCUCAUCAAUAGGCCUCAUGAAAGCUCGUAACCAUCUAUACCACAACCCAAUCAGCAAGCCCAAGGCAUUCGCGUGGCUUGGGUCCACUUAAACUUGUAGUGUGGCGUGUUGCUUAUUUGCUUGGCGUGGCACGUGUGCAAGCGUAUAUGAUGAACUCUUGCGUACCUAAAUUAGGUUUCUUCCCAAGUUAGGUGUCGUACUAGGCCGAGAAUUUAUUCGGGCCCAACAGUGGAUUUUUUGAACCUCAACACUUAGGUAGCAAAAAUCAGAGGACACAGAGAGAUAGAGAGAGGGAGACAGCCACAGACCAUCAAGUACUUUAAGUUAGGUUUGAUUCAUGAUAUUAACUGACUCUUAUAUUUGCUUUAAUAUCCAUGUGGAUGAAAUUUAAAAUGUGAUAUCAUGUGGUUAAGUAGUGGUGUAGGAUUUGUCUUUCAAUGGUUUCAACCAAUUUCGUGGAUGUUAAGAUUGAUAUAGGUUGGUUGACAAUAGGUAGAUCGUCCUUAUCGUUUCUAAUCCUAAUAUGACAAUGCCUUAUAUUAAUUUUCUAAUUUUUGGUUGAAUAUCUUAUUUGAACAAAGGCAUCUGAAAAUUUGAUCAUUUUGAUGUGUAGAGGCCAUUGUUACACUUCGCAAAGAAAAAUAAUGUAUAUCUUUUGCUGGACAAAAUUACGCUUAUAUAUAUGUGCUGGCUAGUGUGUUCCAUUUCUUUUUGUUUUGUUAUUUGGCAAAUGUUACACUUUUGUACAGGGGAACAAUACCACCCAUCUUUCCUUUUGAAGUGUUAUUUGAAGAAAAUGAUUUUGAAUGAUUUGAAAGAAUUACAUAUGCACUUUAAAAAAAAUGCAACCUUCAAAAAUACAUCCAAAUAGCUAAAUAAAGUAUUUCUUGUUUGUUUUAUGGGAAAUAUGAAACUUUGCUCCCACAGAUGAUAUUGACGGAGAAAAGAAAGAAUUUUCGUUCCUAAACCAAGAAGAGAAAUCACGUGGGUUUUUGAUCAGAAGAGGAGAUUGGAAUGAGUAGGAGGGUAUUUUAGAAAUUUUCUCCCCACUAAAAAUAUUAUCAAAAUAUUAAAUAGAAAGUUUCUUUUAAAAAAAGAAUAAAAGAUAGAGUCAAAAGUUAUUAACAGCUGGCGUCAUCUCAUUAGGCUGGGACACUGACGUGGACAGCUGACCAUAGCAUACCCAUGGCAGGGAAGUUUUUCUCCAGUGGAGGAGACUGUGCAGAAGAAGAUAGCCUUUUUUCUUAUGCUUUUCUUUCCUCUGCCCUUCUCUUUUCUAACUUGCUAUCAUGGUAUGGUUCUGAGCUUUCUCAUUCUCACGUCUUUGUUGUUGUAAUUCUAUCUGAGAAAUUUAUAAAAUUCUUCUCUGUAUUCUUUUUGGUCAGUUGGGUGAGUGCUGUUUGAUUGCCUUGUUGCUUUUUUUCUUCCCUGAUCUAGGGUUUAGGGUUUCAAACAUUUUAUUGAGCUUGAAGAGGAAGUGAUGAUGAUAAAGCAAGGACCUUUUGAUAAAGAUUACUACUUCCUGAUGUGGGCCUUUGACCAUAGAAAGAGAUCAGAUAAAGCAAGGAAAUGGGAGAAAAUAUACGCCCUUUGGCAUUUGAUGGUCCUUGUUGCUUGCUUGUAAGUUGUAAUUGUCGGUGAGCAGGCUUAGCUAAAGAGAGUAAAGGAAAGCAACAGUGAGAGAGAGAACUCUCCCUCCUCUCUUUUCCACACUUUCUCUCUCCAUCUUCUUUUCUUUAUCUCCUUUACUUUGCCACACCCAAAGCAAUACUUACUAAACUAACUAAUCCAAAAUGAUUAUUAAUUUAUUAACUGGGGUUAAUUGCUGCAGCCUUCAUCCCAAAGCAAUACUUACUAAACUAACUAAUCCACAGGCUUCUUGUGAGGCAAUCUUUUCUCUUAUUCAAUUACCCCAGUUAAUAUGAAACUGUUGAAAUCAAUAUUUAUAUAAAUACAAUUGCGAAAAAAUAUUUACGAAAUUUUGUAAGUAAUACGUAGAGCACGUGAUUUAAAAAAAAUAUCUCACAUAUGAGAAAGCGCGUACAAAAAGACUAAUAAAACAUAAACAAAAAGGAUAAUCCUCAAGGGGAGCCACUAAUUAUUGAUCAUAUACCAGACAACUCCCAUCUUUAUAUAACUUCCAUUUUCAUUUUUCUUUUAAUUUUGUAAUUUGUAAUUUGGAUUUUUGGGAGGUGGAGUGGGAUAAGAAUUAUAGGGUGCGGUUCGUGUACCUAGGAAACCGCCACGUUCUUUCUUUAGGAAAUUUGGGAUAAAGUUAAAAAAACAUAAGUUGGGAGGUAGUGAAAUUAAAAGCAAGGCCAUGUGUUUCAUGAAUCAAAAUCAGACAGUUUUGUGUCCCAGUGAUGCAGAGAUAUAUACAAAUAUCAUUUAGACUUUUGCUUUUGGGCUUUGAUCAGGAUCUGAUCCGUUAUCUCAUCACCUUUUUUUUUUCUUUUUCCUUUUUUUACUCUUCAGUUUCUGCAUGUGCGUUACACUAACAUCAUUACUAAUCUCCUUUUUAUCUAAGCUGUCUUUCUGUAAAGGUAACACUGAUAUUCCUUCCCCAUAAUUCAAAGAAAAAAGGAGUUUGAGAUGUGGAAAUAUGGAUUCCCGAAUCAAAACUUUUUGAUUUUGUUAACGAUUAUAGUGGGCCCAUCAGUACUGGGAAUUUGUCUGCUUAUUUUGAAUUGAAAGCUACCUCUUGUUGGAAAACCUUAAAAGUUGUUUCUUUCCAAGCCCACUUACACUUGCUGUGUAAACUAAUGAAGUCUACAUGAAAGCAAUCUCAUGUCCUAUUGUGUAUAUGCAUGUGCUUAAUUGGUGUAUAUUCUGUAGUACCACAACAGAAUGUUUAACAUUCAAUUGGGGCUAAUUCCAUGAUAGAGUGGUAAUUGAACAGUAUCAAUACAUCAAUAAGUGCACAGUUGGGUAUACACAAUGAUCAAAAGGAGACAAAACAUAACAGCGGUUUAAGUGUUUCAUAAGAGAGUAAAAUAGAAGAAAUUGAGAACUGUUCAUAAGCAAAUCUGCCCAUUCAUAAGCAUACGUCUAAUUAUAAAAUCAAAGAACAAGAUACUGAAUAAAAAUAAAGUGAGAAAGAGAGAUUGUUAAAUGCUCUCAGCAACCAAUCAUAUUGUAAAAUGAGAAAGAGAGAUGAUUGUCGUCAAACCUUGCUACAACGGCCGAGAUCUUUGGAUCCACUAGAAUCUCCCCUUUCAGCUUCAACCCCAGAUAUUUCUUUGUCUUUGUACCUCUCAACCUUGAAAGCCCUUGGAACAAGGUGGUUCUAUAUACCAGACAAAAGAAACCAAUUAUCAAAUUUAAUCAGAAACUCACAUUACCAACAAACAAAACCCAGCUAUCCAAAAAAAUUCAAGAAACCAAAAGACAAAGGGAAUAGAAAAAGCAAACUGACAUUUGAUUUCAAAAUCCCCAAUUUCUAGGGUUUGAACUGAUGAGAGCGAGGAGGAGAGAUGGACGAAAAGAUAGAGAGAGAGAGAGAGAGAGAGAGAGAGAGCACGCGAGCUUCAAGCUUCUCCCAUGGAAGCUAGCUUGAGUGAGAACCAGUAGCACAGAGCGAACCAGCAGAUCCAACGACAAGAGAAAAAAAAUUCAAGAAAAACGCAUUUGUUUUGUUUUGAAUAAUAAGGGUCUUUUUGCAAAUGACCCCAUUGGUGUAGUGGUUUGGAGUAUUUACUCCCUCAGACAAGGUCUUGGAUUCGAGUCCUAGCAUCCGCAUAGUGUGUGUGAGUUUAGUAUGCUAUCGCCCCUCUCAAUGAGUCCUGUUUACCUGUUACCAAAGUUCCUGUGGCCUCCUGUUUCCCUGCUAGUUUCGUGACAUGUGGCAAGCCACUUAACACCACUUAACUCUGUUAACUCUUUUUGCUUCUUUUUAUUGUUUGUUUUUUUUGCUUUUUCUCCCAGUUCUGCCCCUUGAGGGUUUAGGGUUUAGGGUUUAGAGCUGGUGUUUCGGCUCGAGUCCAUGUGUUGUUUUGGGCUGGUAAGGGAAAAAUGAGCGGAAAAGAUAAGAGAAGGUAGGGAAAAAGGGGGUGAAGGAGAAACUAAAAAAAGAAAUAAAAAAGGAGAUGAGAGAAAAAGAAAAACAAAGCAAAAGCAAAAGCAAAAAAAAAAAAGAAGAGAGAGAGAGAGAGAGAGAGAGAGAGAGAGAGAGAGAGAGAGAGAAUGUGGAGGUAGAGAUCUGGAAAAGAUAACAAAAAAAGAAGAAGAGGAGAGGAGACGACGGAGGGAGGGGGAGAGAAGAGAGAAAGGGGCAUAACAGGGAGAAAAAGAAAAAAAGAAAAAAAAAGCAAAAAGAAGCAAAAAGAGUAAACAAAGUUAAGUGGUUUUAAGUGGCUUGCCACAUGUCAUGAAAUUAGCAGGGAAACAGGGGGCACAGGAACUUUAGUAACAGGUAAAUCGGACUCCCUCUCAAUAGGAAAUAUCCACAAAACACAAAAGAAAAAAAGGUCUUUUAAAAUUUGUUUUGGAAUUGGAUUUUUAAAAAUAGACCUACCAAACGAGUUUUUGGGCUUUUGAAUUUAAAAUCAGUUUUUGAGUUUAUAAAAUUGGACUCAAAUCAAAUACCAAACAGACCCUUAAAGACUUAAUGUUUUCUUAAAAUAUUGCGUUUGUUUAUUUUAUAGAGUACAAUUAUAUGUUUUAAAUAAUUUUCAAAUUAUCUAAUAUUUUUUAAGAAUCAACUGUAAAUUAUGCCUGACGGUGAAAAUACAAUUUACCUCAAAAAUAACUAAUUAUUUGACGUUAUUUGACGUGUUGAGAAGGCUAAAUAUGGAGUCUACAGAAGUCUAGAGAGACUUGACUAGUUGACAUCCCUGUCUCCAAUUAGCCUAUAUAGGGCCAAGAGUAUGCUUACAUUACAGCAGCAACUCAAUAAUCUAGAGGCACUCUUGUUAAUUAUUCAUGGCAACUCCCAUUAUUUCUAGCUCCUCCUUCCUUAGGUUUUUCAUGGCUUUCUUCUCUGUAUUUCUAUGCCUAAGUCUCUGCUCUUUCGAGAACGGAUUUGCUUUGGCAGCAAGAGAUACAAAACCCCACCCUCUCCCACAUACCACUCACACAGUUGAAGUGAAGUCUCUUCUACCAGCAACCACCUGCAGCCCCUCCACCAAAGGUUAAUUCAUCCCAUAUUAUAUAUAUAUAUUAAUUUCAAACCCCAUUUUAUGUGCAUUUAUGUAUCUCUAACACACACACACACACUCUGUCUCUGUCUCUCUCUCUCUCUCUCUCUCUCUCUCUCUCUCUCUCUAUGCAUACAUGUUUCAAUGAUCUCAGGUCAUAACAUUAACAAGGCAUCAUCGGUACUGAAAGUGGUGCACAAACAUGGGCCAUGCUCCAAUUUCCACAAAUCAUCAAAAACUUCAACCACAACUUGUGAUGAAAAAUACCAUGCUCAAAUCCUCAAGCAAGACCAAGCCCGAGUCAACUCAAUCCACUCCCGCCUCAACCACAACAACAACAAAGACCCACUCACCCAAUCCGCCGCCACCACCCUCCCCGCCAAGUCUGGUCUCGUUAUCGGCACAGGGAACUACAUUGUCACCGUCAGCCUCGGUACACCCGCCAAGCAACUCUCCCUCGCCUUCGACACCGGCAGCGACCUCACCUGGACCCAAUGCAAGGCAUGUUCUGCUACUCAGUCUUGUUACAAACAGAGAGAGCCCAUCUUCAACCCUUUUCUCUCCGCCUCAUACAAAAAAAUCUCAUGUACCACCGCCGCGUGUACUCAGCUCUCAUCCAUCGGCGUCCAACACGGCUGCUCCGCCUCCACCUCCGCCUGCCUCUACGGCACCCGUUACGGAGACAACUCCUUCUCUGUCGGGGUCUUUGGCAGCGAAAAGCUUACAUUGACCCCGACGGACAUUUUUGAAGGUUUCCUCUUCGGCUGCGGCCUAAAGAACAAAGGCCUUUUCGGCGGCUCUGCCGGUAUGCUCGGUCUCGGCCGGAGCAACACCUCCAUCGUCGAACAAACCGCCAAUAAAUACAACCGGUACUUCUCCUACUGCCUCCCCUCCACCUCGUGCUCCACCGGCUACCUCAGCUUCGGCAAAGGCGGCAGAUCUUCCAAUGCCGUCAAGUUCACGGCCCUCUCCACCGUCCCCCUAGGCCACUCGUUUUACGGCCUCAAUGUCGUCGGGAUCAACGUCGGCGGAACUAAAUUGCCGAUUUCGUCUUCGGUCUUUUC
Molecule: long non-coding RNA, 59849 nt
Filed under: Prunus persica (peach)
Lineage: Eukaryota; Viridiplantae; Streptophyta; Magnoliopsida; Rosales; Rosaceae
Description: long non-coding RNA (PPER_LNC001429)
Rfam family: tRNA (bases 305-378)
Source: RNAcentral